RNAcentral lists this long non-coding RNA (48776 nucleotides) under Vitis vinifera (wine grape). RNAcentral describes it as "long non-coding RNA (VVIN_LNC002595)". The record is from RNAcentral. Lineage: Eukaryota; Viridiplantae; Streptophyta; Magnoliopsida; Vitales; Vitaceae.
UCUGUUUCACUUUCUUUUUUUUGUUAAAUCUUAAAUGUGUGUGUGUGUUAUGGUGAUUUCUUCUUGGAUACUUAUCUAUAAGUAGGCCUCACUUAGCUGGAAAAUCUCAAGUCCCCACCAUCAUACUUUUUAUCCUUCCAAAAUCUCCCUCUACCCAAAAACUGAACCAUGGGCCUCUGAGAAAAUCCACCCAAAUUAUCAUCACAAAUUUUACAGGGGCAUAGAAGAGAAAAAGUGCCUCCUCUAUACACGACAACUCCAAAAUUCAAUUAUCCCAUCAUCACCACUCACAAACCCCUUAGCAUUAGUGCAACCCACUCUAAACAGCAACCUGCCCUAAGGCUCCUAAACUUAUAUUGAAACCAAUUUAGAUUCUUGUAAGCACAACCAAUUGGGCCUUGUAAGGUUGGAGGAGAAAUGGAACGACCUCCCUCUUAUCCACAACAUUUGCCCUCUUAAAUUCCAUGAAUUAAUCCUAAGUUUCAUUGUCCAAUCAUGUUUGGGUUCAAGCAGCAACAGCACCUGCCUCAAUCUUCAAAUCACCACCCUCAUAAUUCACUGAGCAGGAUGGUUAUGCAAUUCUCUGUUCUUGCAUGAACUGCCUCUCCCCUUCUUUCAUAGUGUUAGAGCCCUGUUUGCCCCACCUGGAUUCUAUGUCUUAAGCAUGUCCAUACUCUCCUCCAUACGCUUUGAUCAACAGUUACAAAUACCUGUUGAAUAUCCCAAAUUUCAUUUUUGCCUGUGGUGUAGGAGCUUUCUCCACACCUUUUUGAACUCCUGAUCUGGAUUGCAUGAAAUUCCACCAGGCAGUAUAAUAGAUACCAUGUUCAUGUCAAUAGGAGGCAACACAAUACCACACCAAUCUUUCUCCAACCACACCACCAUAUUCCUCACGCAUUUUAAUGGGACUCUACCAUGGCCCAUCUUGCAAGAUCAUCUGCAAUAGUCACCUCCACUUCACUGCAAGCUUUCCUUACCUACAUUCCCAGGUGCAUCCAUUGCUCCAAUGCUUUUCUGACCUAUAAGGCCUGCUCAUCACCCACCAAACUAGAGGAAGAAGACCCCAGCAGACUUACCUAAGUUAGGAGACUCCCUUUCACAAAGAUAAGUGCUUACUGCUAAUUAGUGUCAUCACCUUUAGCUCCUCCACACCACCUUCACCUCUCAUCCCCAUAAAGGGACGAAAAGACCAACUUGAUUAACUCACAAUUUCUUUGCCUGGGCAUCAUACUGCCUCCUGUCCAGUAGAAAAGACUUGAGGAUGUCUUGCUCUCUGCUUCCAUAUGUUCUCCCUUCUCAGCCUCCAUGGGAGAUAUGAACUUAAAAAUUGCCAGCCUAAGGAGGUCAGAUUCACUUCCUUCACUUUAUUACAAUCCACCUUCAAAAUUUGAAUUACUGCCAAUGGGUUGCCAAACAAAAAACAAACACCCCUACCACCCAACAUCUUCUUGUCUACAUUGGCUACUUCUUGCUCUACUUGGCCUGGUCUUUAGUAUCUUACAGUUGUCAUUUAACAUCCUAAGCAAUGCUCAAAGCCCCCAUGGACCUUAGCUGCUACACUGCCUUCAGACACUGUUGAAAUUCCCCAUUUCCAGUUCCAUCCUCCACACGCUUUGAAUGUUUACCAGAAAAUCCCAGAUUAUGCAGCCUGCUUGGCUAAGAAUAUCGACUCAGAAAAUCUAAGCUAUCUAGGAAAAUAACAAAAUACCUCGUUAUGUCCUCUGGAAACACCAAGCCGGGCAGAUAUCAACAAUUCCCAUUUUUCAGCUCUCUUCCAUCAAGCUUAAGAUCUUUAAAUUACACAUAUCAUUUUUUCAUCCACAACAAUAAUCCAAACAGUUCAAAAGUCAUGAGAGUCCCCUAGAACCUAGUUUGUUCCGCCUUUAGUAGCCUUUUCCCGUAUUCAUGAUCUCCCCUUUAAUUUUCCCUUGCCAUUGUUUUCAUAAUUCCUCGUUUUAAUCCUAGCUGCAUCCCAAAUAUUUCAUUUCAGUUCAAUUUAUGCUGAAACCUUUAAAUUAUAAACAGCUAUCCAUAUUUCUGACUUUAUUGCUUACAUCUAGUCCAGUUUCAUCAGGUAGACAACAUGCACCACGGGACCUCAUCUUUUUUUUUUUUUCUUUUGAUCAAUAAGCAAAAGAAUUGUAUUAACGAAGAGGCACUAAAAUAGCGACCCACAGAAUUACAGUAUAGAGACACUCACCCCCUUACAAUUGGACCCAAAACAAGAAGGAAAAAACAAAAAACCUCCAGUUGUGCAGUUAAGUUCAUCCAUUGCUAAUGCAAAACGCAAGCAUCUGUGCAGCUAGAAAAUGGCAUCUCCCAUGAGUUGAUCUCUCAGGUUGUAUCCUCCAGUUGUAUGUGCAGCCCUUCAUCAAAUUAAUAAAUCUAGUUAUUCUAUUUUCUAUUUUUUUUCUUUUUUGAUCAGUAAGUGUAAUAUGUAUAUUCAAAAAGAGGCGCUAAAGAAGCGACUCAAAAAGCUACAGCAUCGAACAACUCACCCCCUUACAAAAGAACCCAAGCCACUAUGAAAGCACAAAAAACUCUCUCCCUUAACGCAUACACACCCAUUCCAUAAAAUCUAUUAAGGUCGAAGGACCAUCUUUUAUCCACAAUUUGGUUUCCGACCAUAGUAAAUACACAAAAGAAAUUUUCAGCUUUUGGAUGGACAGCACCCCAUCCUCAAAAGCAAUAGAAUUCCUAGCCUUCCAAAUAACCCAAAACAAGCAUAACGGUCCCAAAAGCCACGCCACCUUCCUCUUCUUGCCCACAAAGGAGCCUCUCCAACCUAUGAGAGUUUCCUUAACCGAAAGCGGAAAAACCCAAGAGACUCCAAAAAAAGAGAGUAGCAAAGUCCACACCUCCCUUGCUCUUCCAAACACCUAUUAGUUACAUUUGUCUUGUUAUAUACUAAUUUUGAAACAUAUAAUUUCCUCCCUGCUAUAUCUGAUGGAUAUGGACACAGGUAUGAGAUGCACAGAUUCACUGACCUAGCUCAAAAAGUAGGACCAUAGAUGUGGAAAGGACAGAACAAUAUAUUAGUAUAUGCUUACUGGUCUUUCCUCUCUUUUACUAGUCAUAUUCUUGUCUUUUGUGAGUUUGAUCUCUGUGCACUGCACUAUAUAGACGCAUGUCCAGCAGUGUGAGGGGAUUGUACUUUCCUACUUAGUAUUCACAUAGACAUGGGUCCUCUUUAAAGGCAAGCAUGCUACGGGCAUCCUGUUUAUGUUUACAUUUCAAGUUUAAGUAGUUUGUUAGUUGUUUUGAGGAUUUGUUUUGUGUUCUUUGUAAAUUGUUGCUUGUCAAUUUGCCAGCUUAAUGACUUACCAAUUUUAAUUGAAGCACUUCAUCCUGAUGCAGGGCAUUCCAGAAGAUGAUGGCAAGUCCACCAGUUCCAUUCAUGUCAACACAUGCCAUUAUUAUUUCCUACCAUGCUUUUUACUGUUCACAAGAAGUGAAAAGUUUUUAAAGCUCACCUUGGAUGUGAUGGGCUCAUUGAUAACAGAAAAUGGUUCAUCACCUUUUUCUCCUAAUUGUAUUCUAAAUGCCACUGACCAUACGAAUAGGAUAAGAGCUAUUGUUGAAAUCCUUAUAUUGAUGCACAAAGAUGUUAAAAUCCAGCGAAUUCUUUCUUCAUGCAAAUCAGAGAUUGACCAUAUUUUGCAGAACAUGCUCUUAUUACAGGUAUGAUUUUGUACAUUAAGCCAUGCAAUUCCGUUUAGUUUUUUUUUAGUUAGUUUGUGUAUUCAACUGACCUGUCUGGUCCAAGCAUCAUGGAUUUUUUUCAAGGUUAAACCAGGCAGCCAAAGCCUGCACUAUAAAUGCUAUUUAAUCACGGAUGUCAUAGAUUGUUUAUAUUUAAUAUGUAGAAUGUGCCAAAUUGAAAUGCUCAUUAAGUAUCUUUUAGCAGAAUAACUGAUUGGCCUUUAUACUGUCCGAUCUACCUGAUCUAAUAUGACUCUUUAACUCUCCAAGGAUUGCUGUAAAAAGGAAAAUGAGUCAGAAAUUCAGAGUAAAGAUUACCAUGACAAUCACAAGCUUCAUUGUAAUGAAAUCAGCCUGUUUAUUGUUUGAUCAUUAACAUGUUGAAUACUGCUGUUAUGAUUAGAUGUUUUUUUCCCUCAAGAUAGGGUAAGAACUUUAGAAUUGGACCCCUUAUAAUUCAGACCUAAUUUUAUAUUCACAAGCCUUCACAAAAUACCUUUCAAAUUCGAUUUGACCUCAUAAUCACUAGCCUUAUAUGCAAGAUAGUCUGCAAUUUUGUUGCUAUUUCUGUUGAAAAUAUCAAUAAUGGUUUUAUAAUCCAAUUAUAUGAUAAAUACCAAUCAUAUCCAAUUAUAUGAUAUAUAGAUCUACUUUCCUUCUUUUGAUCACACUUUACACAGCAGAUUUUGUAUGUGAGAAGGAUUUCUCUGUUUUCUCAGCCUUCUUUAUAUUUGUUUUCACUGGAAUAAAAUGGUUGUUUCUGAUUAAUAUUAACAUAUGCACACACACACAUAUUAUACACGCUAAAGACAUGUUGUUGUGUGUAAGUAAUAAAUUUCUUGACAUCAUUGUUACCGCAGGCUUCAAAAGGAAUGAAUAUGAGUAUCGAAGAAAGGCACAAUAUACAAUGUGCAUUUGACCGACUAAAGUGCAUAACAAGUACACUACCCAGUGCGACGCCAAUAAUCUAAAUGCAUUUUUGGAAUCCAAUAAAUUGGCCUAGUAAGUUAUCUAUCUUUCAUCUGCUUUUGUUUCACACAUUAUUCUUCAUUUAAAAGAGGUGAAAGGCAAGGUGGUUUUGGAGGUUUUGGGUUCUGUUUCUCAUGAGAAAGUUCAUGAUCCAGGGAGGGGGGAUGAUCAAUUACAAUCUUGCUUCUUUGACUCUAAAGGGCAUUCCAAUUUUAUGGUCUAAGAUAUCCUGACGCUACUGUACAGUAUGGGCAAAGGAGUCUAUAAUUCAAACUAGUCAUUGGCUUGUGCAAUGUACAUGAAACUGUUUUGUUCAAAACAGAUUGAUAAAAUAAUAUAUUCUAUGUCAACUAAAAGUGAUAUUUUUCUAAUAGGUAUAACUAGAAAGUGAUCUGAAUUUUGUUUGGCUCUUUAAUUAAUGAUCUCUUCGCCUGUCAAAGAAAACUAUGGAGUGACGUAAGGCUGCUAUAGUAAUGAAACUGUUUUUAUUUCUGAUAAAAAAAAUGAAAUUAAAAUAAAAUAAAAUGAAAGGGUUUUAGGUAUAGGAGAAAAUUAGUUGCUAUAUCCUUUGUGGUGGUUUUGAUCUGUUAUGGAAAAAAAUGAUCCCUUUACUUUAUGCAGCUGUCUCUUCUGACUCUUUUAUCUUAAAAGGGGCCAUGUGCUCCUUGGAUAGCGGUAGUCUUUCUUCUACUAAAUCCAUUGGCUCUCCCAGAGCCUGGGUUCCAUGUUGGAUUCUGUUGGGUGAUUCCUAGUGAGAUUCCAUUGGUGUUUGGGGUUGCUUUCUGGGUUUUUUCAGCAUAUAAGUUUUAUUGUCUGAUGCUUCUAAUGAUACGCAAUAACUUGAACCUAUACAGGAGAAUGCCCAUUGAAACAUCUCAUCGAGUAUUUAAUACAAUGUUUUGUAACAGAAGUGUGACUAAUUUUCUCUCAUUUUUCUUGUGCCUUCUUUCAGCUUUGUAUUUUACAAGAAUGGAGAGAACAUGGAGAAUCGGAUAUGUUGUUGGCAAGAUGUGGAAUUGGGAUGUGUUGUUAAAUCAACUAGUAUAUGUCACCAUAAUCUCAAGAUGACAAGGUGAAUUCACUCUGAUUCAACUUAUCCGAGUCAUGCCAGAAUUAUACCUAGUGGUCUUCAAUCACAUGCUUGUAUUCUUCAGAGUCAAAAGUGAGUGCAAUUUUGAGCCGUAGAUAAGGUAAUCAUCCCCCUUUCUUGGCCUUUUCCUUGGUUUUUUUCCUCUCCUUUUCUUCUGCAUGGCAAUUGCCUACGCACUUCAUCAUAUAGUUGAGUUAUAAGAUAUAUACUUAUAGUUGAUGAGAUUUUGUAGAAAAUUUUGGAAUUGCCCCAAACUGAUAAGAUGGCAUGAGGUUGAAUGCACACAAUUUUGGGAGUUGACUCAUAAGUUAAAAUGAUUCAAUGGAGUAGACGUAUUACACAAAUUUACCUCUCCGAGUGAAUAUUAAUAAAACGCACCAACAAUUGAGCAAUAUUUGGUCUUCUAAUUAUUCAGUGAUGUUCUUUGUUGUUGAAAGUCAAAAGAACAAUUUAUCAUCCGAAAAUCUGUUGAUUGAAAACCAUUUGUUUUCAAGACUAGUUAUAUUAGAAAGUUGAUUGUAGUAUGGGAUCAAGGACUAUUAUUGCCGAGGUUGGGUGAGUGAGAUUUUAUGUAUUGACCCUUUAAGUUCAUAUUUACAGAUUCUCAUUACCUCAUUAAGCAAAAUAAGAUGAGGGAUGGAUGAUACCUGAAUUGCCUGAUUCUUCUACAGCCCAAUACCCGAUAAUAUUUUUAAAGCGCCUAUCAUUUGUGAUGGUAAACUUCGGCAAGCACUCUUCUUACACAACGUGUGCUUGUCAGAAAAAUUAUUGAUGGAUUUAAUUUCCAGGAGGUUUGACCGUGGCCCAAGUAUCUUUUCAACUGCAACACCAAAGUCCCUAUGGGCCAUUAUGCAUUUAAUCCAUUUUACCCAAACGUCAUAUCAUCAAGAUAUCCAAAACGGUGCCGUAGAGGUUAUUUUGAUAAUAUGUCUAAAUACAAACUUCCAUAUUUUUUUGCGGUCGAAGUGAUUUGCCCUCACGCUUGAUCAAGAGAUCCGGACUAGUUUCCAUUUGAGAAAGUUAAAUUUACAGCCUGCUUGAGAGAAAUUAAGGAAUGGUAGGAUCAGACAAUGAAAUAUCGGAGUAUUCAAUUAAUUUGCUAAGAAAAACUCAAAAUGAAUUUUAAUAUUUUACCAUCUGAUUAAGUCAUCCAAAAAAAAUCAUAAAUGUACAAAUGCAUGCAGGUAGGUGUCCUCUUCAUGAUGGUAUGCACUGAAAUUCGCAUUAGGUGAGACCCACAAGUUCAUUUGACAUUUGCCAUAAUCAUCCCUUAAAUGAAAAUGACUAAAAUGUCUUCAUUAAUUUGCAUCAUGGUCCAUGCUUUUCGUUUUAUAUGCUUCUGCAAGUAAAGGGCAUUUAUCUUUACAGGCCUCGCUCAACCAGGUCCAUAUGCAUAUGAUGGUGGAGCUCACUUAAUCGUGUGUUACACCGCUAUCCCCCAGGAUCCCAGCCAAGCAAAUUGGGCCCACCAAACAUUCAUGGCUCACUUAUUCUUAGGUAAGCUGGUGGUGUACCACUUCCAGGAUUGGCCUUCCCAACCUAAAACCUCUCAUUUGAUGAUCAAUUUGUUUGCUUUCAGGAAAGCAUAGUCCAGCCAAUAAUGUGCCUGUGUGCAUGGUUCACCUCAAACAAAUCCAGAAAUUUGCCAAGUCUUGUUUUACAUUAACCAGCAGUCACCCGUUGCCCUGAAACUAACUUCUUUAGUGACAAAUUUGAACCUGAAUACAAACAGGUUUGUAUGAUUAAAAGCUAGUGAGAAAGGCGAGUGAAAAAUAACAAACCAAAACUAAGAAAUCAAGUAGACAUAUAGCAGAAAUAUGAACUGCCAUGCCUACAUGCUUGAAACCAAGGCCAUAUCAACAGAUCAAGUAUGUGAGCUGGAACAUGAUUUGAGUGAUGAAAAACAAAUGAUUAUGGGUGUUAUUUAUUCUAAGAUAACAUUUGGGUCCUGCAUUUGUUCCUACUAGACAACAAUUUCCAGGUGUUAUUAGUAGUAAUCCCAAAUGUCAAGAAAACUAAACAAUUUUCACAUCAAUGGCAACCCCUUAGGGUCUGAAAAGCUUGGUCGGCGCAAUCAUUCAAGUGAACCAUUGAAUUCUGAAUUCCUUGCAUUGGAGUGAAUACAAGAGAGAGCAAUAUCAGUUUCAUCCUUAAUCAGGUUUUUUAAAUUAUUUAAUGAGAGCAAAAUUUGCAACUAAUAGAUUUUGGUAAUAUAAAUUCAUUAGUCAUAAUUGUAUUCUCCUGAAGAAGGGGAUACUCAAAAUAUUACCAAUAUGAUCAGGACACCAAAAGAUUAACUGGACUGGAAAUUGAGAACAAAGAAAAUGAAAAAGAAACAGGACUGAGGAAUAGAAUAGAAGCUUAAUACAAAUUCCCAAUGCAAUUUAGAAGAUUCUAUGAAAUAAUAAACUGUAAUUUUUUUUUCUGAAAUGACAUAUGCACUUGUUUGCCAUAUCAGAGUAAAGCAAACUACUACAAAGUAGCUAAUCUGUCAUCCGAAAAAUAAGAAGUAGAGGACAAACAAAUCUAAAUAUACAAACCUCUGCAAGAAUUUCUACUGAAAGAACUUCCAUUUCUUCUCACAAUCCUGAGACUGGUGCAAGCCUCGGAUGUUCACCUUACCAGCACAUCCCUGUAUCAGAUUCAUCUCAUGAAGCCAUUUGUAUGUAACUGAAAAAAAAAUUAAAAAAAAUGCUGUAUUAGAUUCAUGAAAACGACCCAAGGAGCACAACCAACGAGGCACCCUUUAUGAGAUUGUUAAAUUUUGAAUGGUAGCCUUUCAUUGUUAAAUUUGACUCCUAGUAUUUCAUGCAAGGAAAUGCAUUUGUUCCCAAAAAAAAUAACCCGGUCAACACAGGUUUAAGAUCAAAGUAUUGCUUUAAAUUUCAAUUGUUUAUGAUAAAUAAGAGUGUAGAAAUCAACAACCCAAAAUUUUUUCCAUAUUUUCCUUCUAAAAACAAACUUAAGAUUAAGAAGUUGGUGAUGCUUAUGUCUCACCCAUCAAAGGACCAAAGAAAAAAAAAAUCAACCUCUGGUUCUUGCAUCUCAAAACUAUGCAACUAAAAUAUAAUUGUGUGAAUAAAUAUAAUAGAACAAGGGCUCCCCCUUAUUUCUUUUGGUCUAAGCUUUGAAAAGAUUGGAGGGACAGGAAUGCCAAUUUGCUAUCCAUCUGAUCACUAACUUUUGUAAUACAUCUAUUUAUGAUUCAUACGAUGGUGUCUGCAUAUCAUACAAGGUAGUUGUGUUGUAACUCCCAGCUAAACUUGGUAUGCCAAAUUUUGGCAUUCAUGUCCCUUGUGCCAAACCUCGUCGACUCAUGGAGACACGUGUAAGUUCUCAGGCCACUUUGGAGAAACCAACCUCAUCCCACCAUUUCCAUCAUUUCAGUUCAAUGUUGUUCGCUUUUAGUAAUUUCACCACAACACGCAAUUGCUUUCCUUUCAUAAUUUAUGUUGAAAUUUAGCAAAAAUAGUGAUAAUUUGAUAGAAAUCAUCCCCUCUUCUCUCCCCCUCUCCUCUCGAAAUCAGUAUUUCUAUAUAUAUAAAGAGAGAGCGCGCUACCUUUCUGGACGAGCAAAUGAGACAAACUCCUCGUUUCUUCUACAACCUUCCAGAGGAACUUCCAUGAAGGACGAUGAAAGGGAUCCCCAAGCACUGCGAGACUGAGUGGCAUGAAUGUGAAUCGAUUCAGAUGGGAAGGGCAAUAUCGUCACAAAAAAUUAAUAUGUGACGAUAAAAUAGCGAACUAGACGCCACUGCUCGAUGAGUGGAUGACUUGGGAAGCAAGCAACUAAUGAGAGUAGGAGCCUUUGAAGCUUCUUUCGUCAUCUGGUUUAUACCAUAAAAAUCAGAUUCAUGUUCCGUAAAUACCCCCACCGCCUUAAUUUAAUUACUAUUUCAGGUCUAAAACCCCACCACGCCUCGCGCCUUUUAUAAAACCCUUUCUGUUGCAAUAUUUCCUUGUUAAUGUUUUCAGCCGACGGGAUUCGCCGUGGUCUGCAGGUAAGAUGAUGGAGAUCAACGCCGGGGUCUCUUUUCCGGUCGUCUUCUUCGAUGGGGAACGGGAAAUCAACAUCGGAGACGUCGUUGUGUUUCCGUCGAUGGAGUUUAAGAAUUUCCAAUCAAUUCUGAGCCAGAAAAUUGGAAUCUCUCCACACCAGAUCUCCAUCUUCCUUGACUGUCAGAGGAAAUCGCGAUCAUCCAUGGAAACACGUCGGAGAAUUCCUAUUACCGGUAAGGUGAGUUUCUCUGCAAUUCUUCGCGAGAAGGAUUGCUUCUUUCUUGUGGUCUUGAAGCGAUCAAGGAGAGAAAGAAGGCGAAAAUCAAGACUUCUUAACGAAGUGGAAGAAGAAGAAGAGAACUUCACGACGCGGAAUACAGUAGCGCCGCCUCAGAAACUGCAUCUUCUCCGGCGAAACCAAGAGACAACCGAUCAAACAUUUUCAGGCUUCGUUUCGCCGUAUUACGAUCAGAUUAUGCCUUCGGACGACCUGUUCGUGGGAUCGCAGUUUCUAAAUUAUAAUAAUCGUCUCCAGAAUUUGCAGAUUCAACGAGAGAAGUAUUUGCGCUCUACCAAUUUGCAUUCGAUACCGAAUGAGAACUAUGACUUCCCGGUGACGAAUAAUCGAAUCGGAAGAGAUGUGAUAGUGUGCGAGGAGUGUGUGAAGGCGAUGACGAUGGGAAAACCGGUUCCCUUCCACUGGUGCGUGUACGACGCCGUCACUGUAGGGUUCCGAUCACCGGCCGGACCAAUUGCGAGGCCUGUCAAACGUUCCAAUUAGGGUUUGAAGGUCCACGUUUUUAUUUUAUUUUAUUUUGUUAUUUUGAUGAUGAUGAUGAUGAUGAUGAUUUGAAUUGAACCCAAGGAGACUUCCGAUUUAGGCUUUCUGCUUAGGAACAGGAAACAAUAGUGUUGGGGGGUGGUGAUGGUGGUGCGAUGUGGCAUACGAUAAGGAAGGUAUACCACACGCGAUACCACAUAGAUUACAGAAGAUACUAGGACUAGGAAAUUAUACAAGUGUUGAUAUACGUGUAUGGAAAAACGCCCUUUGGGAAAGGGUCCAAGUUGACAGAUCUUUUUCUGUAUUUUUCUUUUUUUCUUUGGAUUCUUGAGAGAGUGAGAAGCUCUGCUUCAUUGCUUGAAAUGGUGAGACACACCACUUGGAAUUGUUUUCCACCCCAUUCCAUUUUCAGGAUCGUAACACUACUUUGGGAUUAGGCCCUACAGGAAUUUAAUUCCCAUUGGCGUUUUGAUUGGAAAUUUGGUAUAUGAAUGAAUUGUCAUCGUCUCUUUUCUUUUCUGGGUUCAUGGCUUACCAUUUUUACUUGUAUUUUAAUGGAAAUGUUGUAUUUUUUUAUAGUUUUGGUCAUAUUUUAUAUUGGAUGGUGGUGGUGGUGGUGGUUGUUGUUCUUGUUAUUUGUAGGAGAGGGGCCUUGUCAUGGAUGACUAAUUGGAAAUUAUUGGUGUUGGUUGGGAAUUAUAUUAUUGGCACAUUAGAAUUUUCAAUUUUUGAUAUUUUUUGUGAAGAUUAAUUGUAUUCUUGUAGUUUUUGGGUGUCAUGUGAAUUUUUCUGAGGGAGGCACAUGGCGCAUUCUCUAUCACAGAUGAAAUAAUGGCCACGGAUGGGAGGAGUUUGUCAGAAGAUAACUUAAGACUAAUAAAUAGAGUUGUUAAGAUGUAAAUUGUUACUAUAUGUGUGAAAAUAACAUAUGCAUGUGGUUAUUAUUAUGUGUACAGGCUCUUCUUUAGGUCUUAAUGAUGAUAAGGAUUUGAUAUGCAGUCUACUUAAUGGUAAUUACUAAUUGCCUUGAAAACUGACUUAAAAGAGUUCGCAGUAAAAUAUGAUUUUGACCUUUUUCAAAAAGGAUACAAGGAUCGAGGGAUAGUGAUUAACAUUAACAGCACUGAAAAUUAAUGAAGAUUUAAAAAAAUUAAAAAAAAAAUAGAACUCCGAAACAUAAUUUAUACUCAUCUUAGAAAAAUUUCUUAUAUUUUUUAGCAACUAAACAUAUUUAGAAAUCAUAAUGAUUAUCCAAUUACCAAUUUCCUACAAAUUACAUAUUAAUCAUUAUCAAAAUUUAUCAUAAUAAUAAAUUAUGAUAUCUUGAAAUAUUUGAAAUAAUGUUAAAUUACUAUUUUUUUAAUUAUUAUUUUUAAAAUUAAAAUAAAAACAAAUAUAAUAAUUAUGUUUAUAAAUAUUUUAACAUGUAAAAAUAAAUAGAUCUAACAUUUAACAAUCAAUAGUAUUCUAAUAUUAAUAAAAAAAUAAACAUUUAAUGGUAACUUAUAAAAACUACCUUCCAAUUAUUAUUAUUAUUUUUUUCUCAAUUUCUUAUCCUCUCAUUUCCCCUUCCUUGUGCAAACCAUUAAGGCUAUGUUUUGGUAGCAAAAAACAUCAAGAAAAAAAAAUACUUUUAUCAAUUUUAUUACAAAAACCACAAAAAAAAUAAAAUAUAAUUAAAAUUAGUUCUAAGUUUAUAUAUUUUAAUUAUUUAGUCCAAUGAGAAAAAUAAGUGAAAUAAGAUUAAAAUUUUAUAUAAAAAUAUUUUAUUAACUUUAAAUUUAUAUUUUUAUUAGGUUAUGUUUUAUGAUAAAAUAAAGUUAUCCAAAGAUCUUAAGGCUAUGUUUGUUUUUUUUAAAUUUUUGAAGGAAAACAAAUAGUAGGGAAAAAAAAAAAAAGAUAAUAAAUAAAUAAAUUUAAAUUUAAUAAAUUAUUUUUAUAUAUUACUUCAAACUAAUUUCACUUAUUUUUUUCAUUAUAUUUAAAAAUAAAAUAUUGUAAUAUGCGUAAAGUUUUAACUAAAUUUAAUUUUAUAUGUUUAUAUUUUUUAUAAUUAAACCACAAAAAAUCAUGUUUUUUUAACUAUUUUGUUUCUUUUCUCACUACCGUUUUGAAGCCAACACAUUCUCCAACAAUAUAAAUUUUAAUUCCAUAUUCAUCUUAACAUUCAACACCAAAAUAAUAAUAAUAAUAAAAUAAAAAAUCAUUUUCUUUUUCAAAAUUAUAGAUAUAAAUUUAUUUUACCAUAUUUUUCUUAUUAUUUUCCAAAAAGUAUUUUAAUAUCAAUCGUGUAUAGUAAAAUUGGUUUAGGUAUAUAUUUUUAUCUUACAAAUAUAUAUAUUAUGCUAAAAAACACGUGUUAAUAUUUUUCCCACUAAAACGUUAUAAAGUGUUUUUGACGUUGAAAAUCUUAAAACAAAUACUAACAUUUUAGUUUGGGAAGUGUUAUUAAAAAUAGGUUUCUAUUUUUUAUAAUAAAAAAUAAAAAAACACCUUUAACAAAAUUUUGAAUUAAAAAUAGUUAUUUUUAAGGAUUUCUUUACAAGACAUUGUUAUAUAAAUAAUUAAAAAUUAUUUAUAAAUACGAUUUCAAAAUUACUUUUUUGAGACCUCUUUACGUUAGUAAUGAAAAUCCUGAUUUUAAUAUUAUAAGUAAUCAGUAAUUAUUAGAAAUGAAAUCAGAAUUUUUUCUUAUUUUUAUUUUUAGUAUAAAAUUUUUGGAAUAAUAAUAAUAAUAAUAAUAUGUUCGCAUUACAUUUUCAGAAAACAAAGUACGCUAUUGGUUGGGUUUUUGAAUUAAAAAGCAAGUUGACAACUGUUGAACCGCAUCUUCUACCAACCAAGGGUCUAUGCCAGUCGACUGUACAUCACGUGCAUAUCAACGACCAUAAGAAAGCAGGUUUCAAGCCAAGAUUGGCGAGUGGGGGCUAUUUCCUACUCGAGAGCGUGCAGAAGGCAUGGAAAUAAGACAGAAAGGAGAGGGGGGUUUUGCUGGGGGUUUUUGAAGAGCCAAAACGGCAAAACGGGCGAGUUAGUGGAGAUUGUAGAGCGCCGAGGAAAUCGCAGAGGGGGAGUGGUCACGUGAGUGCAGUACUCUUUCUUUCUCUCUAGCGAAGAUGAAAGAGAUUGCCGUAGCGCGUAUUCCCUCUCUUAUUUCUGGAGAGAGAAAAUCGUAACGUCAUUUUGAAAGCUGAGCGCUCUCUCUCGGUUCUCUCUCUUUAGCCUCCCUCCGUUCCCCAGAUGAACAUUUUGGUUUCAAACCCUUGAAAUUCCCUCUCUUCUCUCAUCUUCUUUUGUCUUCUCUCGAAGUUGGGUUUUGCUAGGGUUCCAAUCCUUUGUUUUAUGCUUUUUAAAAAUGGCGGAGUUUCCUCCAAAUUUAGAUGAUGGAGAACUAUGGCUUCCUUCUGAUAUUUUCCCAGAGGAAGUUCCUUCUAAAUUUGGGACCCACCACUUGCCUUCUGAGUUCGCUUACAUGAGCGACAUCGCUCGGCAGUUUGCUGCUUUCACUUUGCUUCAGCCGCCCCAGACCCAUCCUAAACAUCCUCUAAACUUGGCACCAAACUUGGAGGUUACUCUCUGUCCCUUGUGUUCUCUAUUUAACUAAGCUUCAGAGGAUUUGCAUUCACGUUGAUGCUUUGAUUUGUGGGUUUGCAGCGGUUGAGACCGAUGAUUAGGUAUGGGCCGUAUGGCCGUCCCGGUUGUAGCACCACUGUUGCAGUAACUGGAAUUGGUGACAGCCCUUGUGUGUGUGACAGUCCUUGUGGGUGUGACUGCCGACUCCGGAGCUGCUGGGACGGUGGUAGGCCGUUGUACGAGUACCGCAAUGUGAAACCGCCUCAACCCCAGGUAAAAAAAAGGGGAAAAACUGCGAAAAGGACCGUUUGUGUUGAGUCAUUUCAAAGCUUUUCACUUUUUCAGCUUUAAUACACAGGUCGAUAGCUUUCUGCAAACAAGGACUUUGGCUCUGCAGAGGCACCAAAACCGCUUUCAGAACCGGUCUUUGCCGUUUCAGAGAAGCGGGUCUGGGUUGGGUGGUGGUGGUGGUGGUGGUGGUGGUUUUGGUUUUGUGAGAAACUAUGGAGGGACAGGUGUGUUUCUUCCCCGUAUUUCAUCCACAACCACCACUUCUCCAAACCCCACCGCCACUGAUGACUCUAGAAAGAAACAAGGUGAGUUGUUACCGUUUUUCUUUCUUUGGGCACUUUUGAUAUAUUUGGUGUGGAUAUCUGCGUUUUCCGCUUUAGGUCUGCUAUUAUGUCUUUUGUUUAUUUUAGUUCCCCAUAUUUUAUUGCUUUUGCUUGUCGCCUUUGUCUUCAAAACAUAGAACCAGCUUCAAAUUCUUUAUCUGGGUUUUGCUUCGUUGGGAAUCUGGAACCAUUUUUCUUUUCCUUUUUUUUUAUCAAAAAGAAAAUUACUUUCAGACUUUAGGAGGCAUUUAUUGUGGUGAACUGUUGUUGGUUCCAGUCUUCUUUCAGUUUUUUCUUUUGUAGUUUUUCAAAUCUCAGUCAAAGAAAGCACUAAUUUGCAACUGCUCAAUUCAGAUGCUUGACAGUUACUAUGUUCAUAACCUCCUGUUUUUCUUGAAUUUUGUCAUUUAUUUCGGUUAUAGUUUAAUAGUUUAUUGGGUCUGGCAUUUCUGUUGAAAUUGUUUUGUCCAUCUAUCAAUAUGAGCCUGCUGCCCAUGGUGUGGUGCCAAUGCAGCUUAUUAUAAUGCUUAACAAACCAAUGGACUGAAAUAUAUCUAAUAAAACUUUGUCGCCUUUCAUUACAAGUCUGAUAAAGAAGUCAGUGAAUCUAAUUGACAAACAAAAUGUCUUUAGCAAUCUAUAUGGAUUUCUUCUUCUCUUAUUCCACAUCUCUUUUGUUGAUAUCAUUAUUCCUUGUCUAUGGUUGCCUGGUCCAGAAUAUGAAAAUGAACAAUUUUAAGGAUAAUUUGCGAUAUUUUGUUUUCAUUUAUCUUAAUCUAAGGAUGAAACAUUGGCAGGCAUGAACAAUUGGCAUGGGAUGCAAGUCAGUUUACCGAGGAAACCAACCAUGAAUGGCAUUGGUGGGGGGAAACAAGAGGAGUGCAUCCGCCAGCUUCCUCCUGAGCUUGCCUUGCCUCAAGACUGGACCUACUGAGUUCCUCUUCUUCCUUGUAAAGAGUUACUCUAGUGGCAGUGUGGAACAUAAGGAAAUAAGAGCUCUAAGCAGGACAGAAGUCAAAUAAUCAUUUGGGUUUUGUGUAGAACUAAUAGAAAUUACUAUUAAAGCUGAAGUGGGUAAUCCUUUCUUUUAGUAAGGCUCUAUAACUUUGUAGAAUAAAUAAUGGGUUUGAAGCUUUUUGUAGGAAUUUGCAUUGUUUCGUUAUUUACAUUACUGUCAGCCCUCAGAAAACAUUGUUUCUGCCCUAUUGUUUUCUUCUUUGUGCAGUAUUGAAUGCUUAUAGCUGGAAUAACACAGCACUGCUAAAAGGACUAUUGCUUCUUGUGUUGGGCUUUCAGUUGGUGAAUCCAUGAAAGGCACAUUAAUGACUCUGCUGCAGUCAUGGAAUGUUAAUUGAAAUCUGCCAACCUUUAGGAAAUUUUUGUGUGUAAUUUUCUCAAGGCAAUUUUCAGUGGUGGAUUUUUGGGUUUGGAAUCAUUCAUAGGGUAUUGAUGAUUUUUUUCCCUCCAAGCAAAUGGUUUGAAUUGUAUAGUCUUUACAGCCUGUUCACAAUACCAGCUUUUAUAGGAAGGAAAUAAAUGAGUUACUUAGAUGCCAACUUGAAACCAACCUUACGAUGAAGUUGAAAGCUUAUGAAUAGGGAAGGGCUUUUUGUGGAAAUUUUUAUUACACCAGUCCGAACUUUAUGAAUUGUUUUUACUUUUUGUUUCUCUCUUCUAAGGAAAAUUUAUGAAUGCCCUCGCUCACUUCAACUGCCUUCAUUCUCAUCCUAUUUAUGCGCUUGAAGCAGAUACCCAAUUCACUUAAUGUAUGGUGUGCCCAUCCAUCUAAACCUAAUAUACCUUAACUACUACCCCAUAUGGGUUUUAUGGAGCAGUGUAUUUUUAAAAAAUUCAUAAUAUAAAAAAUAAUUCUAAAUUUAUGAUAUCUUUGAAUUUUGAAUAAAAUUGAGUUUACUUUUACAUUGAACUCCUUUUUUGAAAUGGGUGAAUUUAAUGUAAAAAAACAAGUUUAAUGUAGAAAAUGUAAACUUUUUUUUUUUUAAAUAUGAGUAAUAAAAAAAAAUUAAGUUCAAAAGAAGAAUUCAAUAUAAAAAGUUUUAAAGUUAAAAGGAAAUUCAUUUUCUUAAGAAAAAAGAGUAGAAAAAAUAACGAGUUUAGUACAAAAAUAAAAGAAGUGUUGAAAAGUUCUGUAUUUUUAUAUUUGUUUUUAAAUAAUUAUAUUUCAAUAAUAUUUUAUUUUUUAAAAUCCCCUAUUCUCAGGACGGUCACAUGAAUGCAUUUACAAAAAAAAGAGAAUUGUCGUUGUCAUUACAAUUGUUUUAAGAAAAUUAAUUUAUUAUAUAAAAAGGAAUGUUUUAAAUUUAAAUAAAAUUAUUUCUUUAAUUUAAAGAAAAUAUUUAAAUUAUUUUAAAAUUUUAUAAAUAUUAAUUUAAUAAAAAAAAAACUUGCUAUUUGAAUUUACAUAAAAUUGCAUUUAUUCCUUCCUUUUAAAAAAAAGUAAUAAAUGAAACAUGAUUUAUUUUAUUUGUAGAUAUGAAGGGUAUUUUUAUGUACAUAUGUCGUGCGAACCUUUUCGUUGUGACAGAGGAGGAGCCCAAUGUGCAUAAUAAUGACAAUUGUCCAUCCAAUUACAUCAAUGAUAUGGCAUAAAAAUACAUAAUUUUCAUUUUUUUCAAAUAUAUAUGUGAUGUAAUAUACAAAAAGUUAAAUGAUGAAAUUUAAUAAAGAGUAAUGUUUGCAUGACCGUGUACAUUAGUAAUCUCAUGAAAUUGAAGCUUUCAAUUUGACAGAAUGAUAUGUUAUUUUUUAUUUAUGAGAAGAUUUCAUCUCUUAUUUAGUAAAUUUGUAUUAAGGGUUUAGUGACAUUUUCAUAUGGAUUUAGUAAUCUGAUCUUUAUUUAUACACUUCUCGAUAGAUGAUAGCUUAAGACAAAUACAUUUCAUCUGGCAUACGAGGAGAUGAUUAUUACAUUAAAGGACUCGUCGAUCAUCCUUAGCAUCCUUAUAUCGAGUAUAAUCAUAUUUACCACAAUAUAUGAUAAUGAUCAUACUAUGACAUAACUAGUUAAUAGAAUACUUGAGUUGUUAAGUCUAAUGUCUAAAUAAAGUUAUACAUGUAUAGAAAAUAGUCAAUUUGUUUAAGAUGGUUGAGAGAGCUUUAUAGUGAUGUUACUAUGUAGACGAGUGAUAAUAGGGUCCAAUAACUUGCUCAAGAUACACUUACAUAUCUAUCUCAUUAGUUAAGCCUUAUGACACAACGAUAUGUCAAAUCAAUUGUUGGAUACACAACAUUACUUGAGAUAUAGUCAUAAACAUCAAUAUUUCUCUUAUACUACAUUAUCAUGCAAAAGAAGAGUACUUUAAACUCUCAUAGGGCUGGGGAUAUGGGUAUAUCCCUAUAUUUGGAUCUCACCAAAAUAUAUAAUUUGUAUGAUCCAUUAGGAUUGCUUUUGCCAUCUAUGCAAGAGCGAUUAGAUGUCCUAUCCAUAGAUAAUAUAAGACAUUGUAAUUCAUAUAUUUUUUUUCCCAUAUAUAUAUAUAUAUAUAUAUAUAUGUAUAUAAUGUGGUUGAAUCUAUUGUUCAUGCAUUUUUUUUAGUUUAUUUUGGAUCCCCAUAUAUUUAUCCAAUUUAGUUAUUGAGCCACAAAUUAUAUCAGACUGUCGAGUAAGAAUAGCAAUGAGACAAGUCUUUUAAGUUUGUUUCAUCUCAAUUAUAUGUAUAAUUAAAUAAAAAAGAAUUUAAUUCAACUUUUUUUUUUGGGUUUUUUUAACACAAAAUAAAAAUAAUUUAUUUUUUAGUAAAAAAAAUUAUAAAAAAUUACAACAUUUUUUUAUUUAUAAAUUAUAAUCAUUUUAAUAAAAUAAAAAUCUUUAAAAAAAAUAAAUAAAUGGGGCUAAGCAAGUUGAUUCGAGAAUUUUCACUAUCCACCACGAUUUUCACAAUACAUUGUGACUUACUUGGUUUAUUUUUUAUUUUUGGAUCGAGGACGAGAAUUGAUUUAAGUAAUUGAGGUGGGAUUAGGAUGGAAGUGACAUGUUUUGUUUUCAUCAUUGAGUCCUAUCAUCCAAAUAGAGAAUUGAUGUUAUUUGGUACGGUACCGUCCAAAGCAAGAGCACCGUUUUCACCUUUUAACCAUUAUAAAGGUGUUAGCAUGGUUAUGAAUGCAUACUUUGACUAGAUCUAAGAUCAUUUGGAUGAUUGCAUAUCAUAUGCUAUCAUGUAUGGUGUACUUGUGAUGUAUUCAUUAGAUUGUGCUCUUUAUUAUAUGCAUUAAUACAAAUGGGUCUCACUCAUAUGCGUACAAAAGCCAUAUUGAAGUUAGUGGCUAUCCUAUUUCAACAGCAUGUAUAAAUAACUAAGCACAUCGUGCAACUGACUUAGAGACAUGAAAUUAUCGUAGAAAUUUAGAAAUUGUUUGGUAACUGUCUUUUAAAAUAAUUUUUUGUUCUUUAAAAUGAAAAAGUAAAAAAAUAUUUGAUAAUUAGAAAACUAUUUUUUGUUUUUUUGUUUUUAAAAAUAGAAAAUAAAGUGUUUUUAAAAAACGUCUUUUAAUUGUUUUUAAUUAUUUUUUUAUGUUUUAUGAGGAUUAUUUUAAAAAAUAAUUAUAUAAAUAUGUAAAAUAAUUAAAAAUAAAGUAUUAAAUAUAAAAAUUAUUUUUAAAAAUAUUAAAAACAUUUCAAGUUCUCAAACAAACUUUUAUUCUACAAAACAUCAUAAAAUAGUUUUUAAAGAUUAUUCUAAAAAAUUGUUUUCGAAAAUAGUUAUCAAAUAAGGUCUUAACAUGAAUAAACUUAUACCAAAGCAUGGAACAUAUUGAAAAAUUAUUUUGGUCGCCUUUAGGGAUGACAAUUGAGCGGGUUUGAGAUGAGACACUUUUAUCCCAUGCUCAUCUUAAUCAUAUAAUUAUUAUGAAAUAAAAGCUAAUUAAUUAAGUAAAAACACUCCAGAGGAGGGUGAAUUGAGUUUUAAAAUUUUUUUUUCAAAAACUAUUCUCAGGUUAUAUUGAAAAAAAUUAAUAGAAAUGAAGAGAUGAGAGUUAAAGAGAUUGCAAACUCAAAUUUUAUAGUAGUUCAUCCAAUUUCGCCUAUGUCCACUCUCCUUAAGUUUUUUCCAAGUGAGGGUUCUACUAGUAUGAAGCUUCAAUCAAGCUUUCAAGUCUUUACAAUUGGAUUUCCCGGCUCUAAUGAACACUACAAUCAAUCCUUCAAGUUUAUCCCCUACUUCAAGACUAAGCAUUCAACCUUACUUGAAUAAUAAAGAUUUAAAGCACUUAAAUCUAGCACAAUUAAUAAACAAGUACAAAAAAGACUAGGAUGAACACAAAGGUACACUAGAAAUGAAUUGCAAGUGAUAGCUUAAUAUACAAAUGAGAUAAUGAGAGCUUUGAAAGUGAGAAACAAGUAGGUAGAUAGUUUAAUGUAGGUGUUCUCUUAUUAAUAAAUGAAUAAGAGCUCUCUAUUUAUAAGUUUUUAACCUCAAGCAUAAAAGUACACUAAUAAACUUUUCUCAAUUGAGUUUCAAUCAAUUGGCUGACUAGUCAGUAGACAAUUAAUGUUUGACAGGUGAUUAUUAGAGAUUCGACUAGAACUUGACUGGGAAGAGGUACCCAUCGACUAAGAAGACAUUUCUCUCGGUCGGGAGAGUAAUCUUUUUGGAAGAAAGAGAAAAUUUUUGCACCCCUCAAUUGGUAUUUGAUUGAGAAAGGGUAACCAAUCAACCAAUUCUUUAUUUGGUUCAGUAGGUUCAACCCAUCCUCCACCUAUUGGAUAUAUUUUGUUCAAAAACCUAUCUUUUUCCAUCUUUAAUAAUUUUUAUAAAACAAAUUUGAGAAGUUUUUUUACUAAGGUUUUGGAUUAAUACUUGAGUUUAUAAAAAAAUACGAUUUUUUAAGUCUAAAACGAGUAUGAAAAAGAUGCAUUUAUGAAUUCAAAUUCCUAAUUGCACCCAAGUGAUCACCUUACAUUGAGUCUCUAUGCUUUGAAUAAUCUUCAUGCUCUUUUGAACUUGCAUCUCUUAGAUCGUUAACUUGAUUUCUCAUUUGAAUUAUUUGAUUAAUACUUGAAGUUUAUCUUGAUUUGAAAUGUUAGUAUACUAAGUUAUCAUCAAAAUAUAAUUAGGGAACAUUUAGGCCAACAAUUAUUUUUUAUACUUGUCCCAAACCCAAAAUGGGAUGGGUAGAAGGAUUCUCGUUAAACAUAAUAAUCUUGUUCUUGGCACACCCCAUCAAACUAUAUCUUUGAUGUACCUCCAACUCUAAUUGGUCAUGUUCUUUCUCAAGCUUUAGUUUUUUUUUUUGUAAAAUAAGUAAUAUAAAAAAAUAAAAAUUUUGAUUAUAAAAAUUAAAUUUAUGGUAUAUGAGUUAUGCAUCUCUUAUAUCUUAACUUAAAAUUAAUAUAGAUAUAAAAAAGAUAGUAAAUAAUAUAUCUCACUAUUCAUCAUAUAAUAUGUUUAAUCAAAUAUGAAAUAUGUCAAAUGAUAAAAUAACUAAUCAUAUCUCAUAAUCAACAAAAAAAAUAAUAUAAUAUUUCACUUUUUAUUCUAUCAUAUUUUAUAUCCCCAAAACAAAAAAUAGCUAAAGAGAGAGCAGAUAAUUGUAAAGAAGAUGAUAUGAUAAGGUUAGAGUGUUGAAAAUUGUAAAUAUGAUGAUAUGGAGAUAAAUAAAUAAUUGAUGAAGAAUAUGUUUGGGAGUGAUUUUAAAAAACGUUUUUAAUAUUUUUAAUAUUUAAAUAAUAAAAAAUUUUAAAUAUUAAAAAUAUUAAAUAAUUUUAAAUAUUAAAAAUGUAAAAAAAGGCUUCUAGAAUCAUGACUUUAAAUUUUGAUUAUCCUUCUAUUAGGUUUUUGGUAGGAAGAUGGUAGGGUUUGCUUUAACAUUAGAAGUUACAAUGAUGUUUCAACUUUGACGCCACACGUGGCGUUGGCUUAGCCGCUUUGGUGCUGUAAUCGACUAAUUUCUUUAGGUGAAAGUUUAAACCAUGUGUUCAGUUACGGCCACGUGGAACCAGCAUCCUCGUUGCAUAAACGCAUGCACUUUCUUCCCCGGACAUGCCGGACGAGUGAAUUUUAAGGAAGGUUCGAUGUUUUAGGAAAGUUUGAAAAAGCAUCGAACGGGAUUCUGAGAUUUUGAAUUCCCUUGAUGAACAAAAUCUAUACAAUUUAAAAAUCACGCAACAAAUCAACCAAAAGAGAAAUUCCAAAGAAUCCAAAUCCACUCAACCCAUCCAAACAAAAUAAAUUCACAAAAACGACUCACAUUUUGGAAUUCACUUCAUCAAUCUCUGCGAUGGGUGUUCCUCAGGCCAUGCAAACCCUAAGCGAGAGAGCAGCAUUCACGAGGGAGUCUCUGCAAAAGAGCCAGACCAUCACGGAUAGUAUGGUCGCCAUUCUCGGCUCCUUCGACCACCGCCUCUCCGCUCUCGAAACCGCCAUGCGUCCCACUCAGGUGUUUCUUCAUUUUCUCCUCGUUUGGUUUCCGUGAAAAAUUCAGGAAAGGACAAGAAAAUGGAAAGAAGAUUGCGGGCUUUAUGAGUUCUGUUUUUUGAUUCUCACAAAAUUUGGGUGGAAAAAAAACACAACAAAUUGUGGAAUCUAGGGUUUGCUUCCGUGUUCAUUCGAUUUGUGGGUUGAAUUUUUUUACGGCCACAAUGAAAUCCUCCUGACUGCUUGAUUUGAAUAAAAAAUUGUUAAAAGUGUUUUGAUAUGUUAAUUUGGAUUUGAUUUUGGUAGAUAAGGACGCAUUCGAUUAGGAAGGCCCAUGAGAAUAUAGAUAAGACACUGAAGGCGGCUGAAUUGAUACUGGCCCAAUUUGAUCUCACCCGCAAGGUUGGUGUCUCUUUCCGGCUCCUGUUUAAAUUGAUUUUAUGUCAUUCUUGAUUUCAGUUUGUCAUGUUGUGUAUAUUUUAACAUAGUUGAAAUUAUUAUGAGCUAAUGAAUUAUGCUUAUUGCUUCACAAUUAUGUACAAUGAUGAGAAGCACUUCCAGGACUCUGCUUUUAGAUUUUCAUUCAUCUGGUUUGUAAUACUCGAUCAAAAGAUUUUGCAUUUCCCCCCCUGUUCGGUUAACUGAGAGAACUCAUUAACAUUUAUACAAAAUCACAUGCAGAGACAAGUGUUAGGUGCAAAAAUGAGUUGCGGAUUGAGAAAAUAGCCCAUUCUAUAGCUUGGUGGUAACUGGUAUAUCUAUUUCAUGCUUUUAAUGUUUAUAAAUGAGACAUAAAUUGGGGGUGAGGCCAGAUAACAGGAAGGUAACCUCCUUAUUGAUUGUGGUUGUAUCACAAAAGAGGAACCUUCUCUAUCUAUUGGGUGAUGGAAUCAAUGUUUUGAAAACCGGACUGGGUAGUCUGACCGGUUGGACCGUCUAUUGGUCUUCUUCUUAAUCUAGGUAGCCUCUUUCAGCUGUUUUGAAGUUGAACUGGUCAAGAACCGACCAAACUGGCUAGCUGGUUUUACCAAAUUUGGCCGUUUUUACCAAAACUGUUCAUCUUGGAUCUCUUGUCUAAAAAAGAGAACUACUACAACAAUUGGGCUGCACCACUCUUUUAAAUAUAUUACGAUUUAAAUUCUUUUUUUUUAUAUUAUGAUUUAAAUAAUAUUAUCUACCGGCUUAAUAAAUCCAUAUAAAAUGAAAAUUUUGAAAUAAAUAUGAAAAUAAUUUAGGUUAACGAAUAUAAUAAUUUUUAAGAUGAUAGAAUGUAGAGUAUGUAGUUGUUGAAAUCUAGAUUAAAUAAUAAAAGUUUAUUUCAUUUUGGAUAUAUCUUUUUAAUAAUAAAAUAUUAUAAUUUGAUCUAUUAAUAUUAAAGAUAAAAAAGAUGAGGAAAAUCUUUAAGUUUGGGACAGGUUGUUCAACCCUAAUCAAACCAUGACAUUAACAUCAUAUUAUAAAAAUAUAUAAUUUAUAUAUUAUUAAAAUUUAAAAUAACUAUAUUAAUUUAUAAUUUGAUCUAUUAAUAUUAAAGAUAAAAAAGAUGAGGAAAAUCUUUAAGUUUCUUAAUAUAUAUAUGCCAUUAAACUAGAAAUGCAAUUGACACACAGUGUAUAACUAUACAUGGUCUAUUAAUGGGAAAUGUCACACAUUGGAUAGGGGAGAAAGUUUCUGACGUUAUAUAUGUAUGUGCUCCUCUUAACCUUGUAGACGUGUUUUAAAGUUAUGAGGACCCCUUUGGGUCCAAAGCGGACAAUAUCUACAUGGUUGGGUGUGGGUCGUUACAAAUGGUAUCAGAGCCGAUCUUUGAUCCCAGAGCAGGGGUUUGUUUGGACUCAUAAGGGGUGUUUGUUUGUUUGACCCUAUAAUCCCAUGGGUUACAACGAGAACGUUGUGUCUGUAUAAGGAAGUAUUCAUGAUGUCCUACAUCGGAUAGGGGAGAAAGUUCAUGACAUUAUAUAUGUAUGUGCUCUGCUUAACCUUGUAGACCCGUUUUAAAGCUGUGAGGAUCUCUUUAGACCCAAAGCGGACAAUAUUUACAUGGUUGGGUGCGAGUCGUCAAAAUUCCCACUAAUACACUGUGUGUAGUUAUACACCAUGUGCCAACUACAUUUCUGGUUUAAUGGCAUAUACAUAUUAAGAAACUUAAAGAUUUUCCUUAUUUUUUUUGUUUUUAAUAUUAAUAGAUCAAAUUAUACCUUAAUAUAGUUAUUUUAAAUUUUAAUAAUAUAUAAAUUAUAUAUUUAUAAUAUGAUGCUAAUGUCAUGGUUUGAUUGGGAUUGAACUACUUGUCCCACUAAUACACCGUGUGCCAACAACAUUCUGGUUCAAUGGCAAGUUCAAUUCUGAGAACGUUGGUUACAAUCACCUUGGACUCUACUAUUCUAGAAGUUUGAAAUAGGUUUUAACCAAUGUAAGGCUUCUCUAUUCAUCAAAAUUGUGGACCAUCCCAGUCUUUCCCCAUAUCUUUAUGCAAGCCAAAAAGAUUGCAUAGACUUUUAAAUUAAUUAAUAAACUAAAUGAUAACUAGAGUUUAUUGUUUUUAUUAAAAAAAUGUAGGUUGUGUUUUUUUUUUUUUUUGGUUAUUGGAGGGUGUGUUUUAUUGGUUAGUGGAGCUAUUAAAUUAUUGUUAUCUACCAGAAGUUUUUGAACAUUAAGAUAGUGUCAGUCUUCUCUUCUCUGAAAACUUCGAUUUUUCCUUAUUGCGUGUGGUGAUUAACAUCCAUUAUGUAUGGUAGCUCCAAAACAAUACUUCAUAGCACAUAUGAUCUGUUUCUCUAUGUUGAUCUCAAUUUUUCUUCAACUUUUAGGCGGAGGCUAAAAUACUGAGAGGGCCACACGAGGAUCUAGAAAGUUACCUAGAAGCAAUGGAUCAACUGAGAAGCAUUGUUCAUUUUUUCAACUGUAACAAAAGUUAUAAGAGCAAUGCUGGAGUGCUUAAUCAUGUCAAUAACUUACUUGCAAAAGCUAACUUAAAGAUAGAAGAGGAGUUUAGACAGCUCUUGACAUCUUACAGGUUUGUUCUUUUGCAUAUACUCAGUGUUACUAUUAUUUAUGAUUUCUUGGUUGGAACCCUGGCAAUCUCAUUCCUGGAAGCAUUGUGCUUCACAACAAAUGUUUCCUGACAUAAAUUUUCUGAGAUGAAUGAAAAUUGGUUUUUUAUUUAUAUUUUGUUUCUUGUGCAUGAAACAUAUUUUGGACUUUUGGCAAGUUCUAAUUCUUUCAAUCAGGGUUGAGUAACUGUCUUUUCAUUUGUAGCUGCUGAAGUUGUAUCUCUUUUGGAUUUCAGCAAACCAGUGGAACCUGAUCGCCUUUUUGAUUGCCUCCCCCACUCUCUACGACCAUCAUCAGGGUCUCCUGGGCAUCAGGGUGAAGCUACUGGCAAGAAUCCUUCUUCUACCAAUCACUCUGAGCACAACAAAAGCUUAGAAACUGCUGUUUACACUGCUCCAACUCUUAUUCCACCCAGGAUUCUGCCAUUGCUGCACGAUUUAGCCCAACAAAUGAGUCAAGCUGGUCACCAACAACAACUCUACAAAAUUUAUAGGUGAGAUUUUUUUAUUUUUUUUUAACUCUGUUUCUGAUGCAUUAACAUUGCCCAACAAUUUCUUUUCCUAGUAUCACGGAUUUUUAUUUUAUACACACACACACACACACACACACACACACACACACACACAUAUAAUAGAAAUAUAUUUGAGAAUUGUCAUCAUUGAAUCCCACUUCAAUGCUAUUUUUUGUUUUUAUUCUAUCUGUAAGCACAUGGUAAGCAAUCUAAAGUGAUUCUUGUUUGUAGUUAUCAUUUUUGUUUUGGAUAGGCACUUUGCCUGUAGUCAUCAUCAAUUUCUUCAUAAGCUGGGAAAAUUGAUAGUUAAUAUGUUUAUAAUCAUGCAGAGAAACCCGUGCUUCAGCUUUGGAACAGAGUCUCAGGAAAUUAGGUGUGGAAAAACUUACUAAAGAUGAUGUCCAGAAGAUGCAGUGGGAAGUUUUGGAGGCUAAGAUUGGAAAUUGGAUUCAUUUCAUGCGGAUUGCUGUAAGGGUUUACUAGGAACUGGAUAGGAUUAUUUGUGUGUGUGUGUGUGUGUGUGUGUGUGUGUACGUAUUUUCUCUUAAUCCAGCCAUUUCAUCAUGCUUGUAACAGGUCAAAUUGCUAUUUUCUGGGGAAAAGAAAGUCUGUGGUCAAAUAUUUGAUGGUGUUGAUUCUCUCAGGGAUCAAUGUUUUGCAGAAGUUACUGCAAACAGUGUAGCUGUGCUCCUUAGUUUUGGAGAUGCUAUUGCCAAAAGCAAGAGGUCCCCUGAAAAAUUAUUUGUUCUCUUAGACAUGUAUGAGAUAAUGCGAGAACUGCAUUCAGAGGUAUGAUUUAUAUAACUAGUUGCAUAAACACUGAAUUAUGGAUACUAAACUAGCCAGCAGAUUGGAAGUUGAUAUUGGUUAUGUGAAGUUUUAGUGAGCUGCUUCUAAGGUUUCCCAUAAUUUUGGAGGAAAAGCUUUGUUGCAAUUAAUGGAACCUAUAUGAAACUACUUGAGCUGUCAAUAGGCAGACAACAUAAAACAAUUUUCAUCAUUGCUUAGGAUAGAAAAUUUGCACUUUUUCCUCCAAUACCACUUGUCUCCUAUUCUUAAAAUGUGCAAGGUGCACCUAAGUUGGAAAAGUCUCCUAUGGCUUAGGCACGAGGUGCAGCACAAGGCAUGCACCUGAGUGAAGUGAAAUGCGAGUUAUGAUGUAUAGCAAUUUUAUAAAUAUGAUCCAAAAUCCAAUCCAAUCAACAAAAAACUUGAGAUUUCAAAUAUUUAAAAGAAGCAUUCAACAAAAAAGUAAUGAAAUAAUAUAAACUUCAAUAUAUAGUUAAAUUUUUUAAGAAUAAAAGUGUUUAAAAAGGAAGGGUAAAGUAGAUGAGGUGUGGCUCUCCUACAAAGUGCAUGCCUUGGCAAGUAAAGCACUAUAACUGGGGAUUAGUUUUGCCCUGAGCCUAGGCAUGCUUUAGGCGUGCCUGUUACAACUAUUUGUAAAUGAAUAGCAUAAAUAAAUGGCUUAAAGGGUUUUAACAACAAAGAUCAAAAUUCAGUUUGUUUCAUCACUGGACUAUUAGCAGAUAAUGCUUAAUUGCUACUAUGUCGGUUGUAAAAUGAAUUUGAGUGAUUCACAGCCACACCCACAGAUAUAUACACAUAUCAAGAAAUCAUUCUUGUUUGUUAUUCAUAAUUGGUUGUUCUAUUAAACAUGAAGUGUACUUUGGGAACAGAUGCAGAUUGAUAUACAUAUGUAUUGUUAAACUAAUGCAGAUUCUGUUUCUUUCUUCUUUUUUGCCCCUCUUGGGGUGUGGGGGUGGUAUUGGUGUUCAUGUUGGGGGUGAGUGUAGAUUGAAACAAUAUUUGAAGGUCAGGCCUGUGUCGAAAUGCGGGAAUCUUCAUUGAGUUUGACAAAGCGGCUAGCUCAGACGGCCCAAGAGACCUUUGGUGAUUUUGAAGAAGCCGUAGAAAAAGAUGCCACAAAAACUGCUGUUCUUGAUGGAACUGUGCAUCCUUUGACAAGCUAUGUAAUUAAUUACGUGAAGUUUUUAUUUGAGUAAGUCUAUAUAACUGUGCUGUCCAUCUCAUGCUGUUGAUCCUUUCAUAGACAGAAUCUAGUAAAAGUAUAUGUUGCCCUAUUAUUCCUUGAUAUGUUCAUCCACUUCCAAUGAAUUAUUUGUCUUGAUAGAUUUUGGAAAUGUUUCUCUGGUCUGUUGAAUUAUUCCUUAAGGUUUGUUUUUUUAUUUUUUUGGACUUAUUCCUCCUGACUAGUUCGUUCAUGGAUUUGAACAUUCAAAAUCCAUUAGUUUAUGUUUUCAAGUGUUUCAGUACUCACUUUCUGUUUUCUAAUGUCAUGUUAUUGCAUCUAUUCCCCUGUUUGGGUUAAUAUGCUUAUAUAGCUCUAUUGCACUUUCAUUUGGUAAUGUCUUGUUUCCAGAAUAUCUGACUAAUGGAUAUCAAAUGUGCACAGCUAUCAAUCGACAUUAAAGCAACUCUUCCAAGAGUUUGGUGAAGGGGAUGCUGAUGCUCAAUUAGCAUCUGUGACAACACAGAUUAUGCUGGCUCUUCAGAAUAACUUGGAUGGGAAAUCCAAGCAAUAUAAAGAUCCUGCAUUGACUCAAUUAUUUCUUAUGAAUAACAUUCACUACAUUGUCAGAUCAGUGCGAAGGUUUGUUAUAUCUUUUUAGCUUGAUUGUUGAUCUGAAUUUAUGCUGUGUAAAUAGUUUCUCCUUUUUAUUGUUCUCAUCCUUAGGUCAGAAGCAAAGGAUUUGUUGGGGGAUGAUUGGGUGCAAAUACACCGAAGGAUUGUACAGCAGCAUGCAAACCAGUAUAAGAGGGUAUCUUGGGCAAAGGUUUUGUUCUUUGACCAAACUUGAUAUAAAAUGUCCAUGAUUUGUUACUAUUUUUCCAGUGCAAUUUCUUUUUCUUAUUUAGAUGUUGUUUGUUUUUACCCCACAAUUCUACUAGCUUUAUAGAUGUGAUGUGUACCUCUCUAUUCCUGGAAUAUGAUCUUCUGAUCCUGUAUAAAUUUUCUUCUCCAUUGCUCACUUAGAACUGUCAUGAUACUGUUUGUUCUUCACCAAGGGUAAGGUUGACACACACAAAAGAUUCUUCUGUCUUUCCCUUAUUAUCUGGAUUCUGUUGAUGAGUAAGGGAUGACGGACAUGCUGGACACUAUACUGCCACAGACGCAUAAACAUAAGACAUAUUUAUCUUUCAAGUGUCUAUCUUAUGCACAUGGGUUAGUAGGCUUUGUUGAUAGAGCAGCAUGAUAAUUAUUGCGGCCUUCUAUAUGGUCUGGAUUUUUUGAAUUUAGAGCUUGCGUACAUUUAUGUAUGUUAAAUCUUCCCCAAUACUCAUUAUAUCUUUGUAUGCACUUAACUAGUUUCGUAGACAUCUUGAUACUGAUCUUCCUAAAAAUUAAGCUUCGUUGGGGAUUAUAAUUAGUUCUGGAUUGAGAAUCAUUUGGCAAUAUUUGCUGCUUACUCUUAUGGUAUAUAUCUCUAUAAGACAAAUUGCUUAUAGUUGUAGGUUGUUGGAAAUUGUUUGUUUCCAUUGAAUAAAUUGCAAGACUAUAAAUUUUAACCAUUGAUUGGACAGCAAUGUGAUAAAUGUCAUGCUGUAUUACAGUUUGGACAUGAAGCCCUUGUUUUGUUCAUGGUCCCUGAUGUAUCUUGAUAUUCAGCUAUAAAUAAAUACAAGAGGCAAAUAUUUGAGAAAGCCAUUGAAAUGUAGCCUUCUAAGAUUGUGUUGUACAGACCUACAUUAUUGUUUCUGAUUAGCAUCACUUCAAAUAUAUGCUUGAUUUUGUCUCACACUUCUGCUAGGAAAGUUAAGUAUCAAUCACGCUAAGCCACUGAUAUUUCUUGCUCUACAGAUUCUGCAGUGUCUGUCCAUUCAAGGUGCUGCUUCAUCAGGUGGUGGUGGUGCGAUUGCAGAAGCUGGUAGCGGCAGUGGAGUUUCAAGAGCGAUGGUGAAAGACAGGUACAAGACCUUCAACAUCCAGUUUGAGGAGCUUCAUCAAAGGCAAUCUCAAUGGACAGUUCCAGACAGUGAGUUGCGAGAGUCAUUGAGGCUGGCAGUUGCUGAAGUUCUCCUACCUGCCUACAGAUCUUUCAUUAAACGUUUUGGGUAUCUGUUUUCUCACACUCGUGACCUGUUCUUCUAAAAUUCCUGUUGCUUCCUUAUCCCUUGAUUGUUCAAAUGUGGUUUGGGUGUUACAGGCCUAUGAUUGAAAAUGGGAAAAACCCGCAUAAGUACAUCAGAUACACUCCUGAGGAUCUUGAGCACAUGCUGAGUGAAUUCUUUGAGGGGAAGACCCUGAAUGAACUAAAGCGGUAAAUAUACUCAAGAAGCUCUCAGUCCAUGUGAUGGCUAACACUGUUUUAUUCUUUGUACUAUGAUGCGAUCAAAUAAAAGCUGGGGUAGCCUUCCUUUCCCACUGAACGCUUUUAUUAGUGUUCUGAAGUUCUGUUGUUAUUUAACUUAUUCUUAUUUUUAAACUGCUGAAGUAUAUUUUCUGACUAGGUAACUUGAAGUAUGACUUAGCUAUAUGGGUUUAUUCUGGUAGAUUUCUUUGGGCAGAAUUUGGGUAUAUCCAAACUUAAGGCAUACCCCAUCCUGCUAAAAAUUUGUUAAGAUUUGGAAAUAGGGUAGAAAAGAAAAAAAAUAAAAUAAAAAAUAUAUAUAAAUAUAUAUAUAUAUAUAUGGGAGAAAAGUCAUGUUUUUGUUUGAUUAUGGAUAAAAAUGGGAUGUAAAAAUUGAUGAAAAUUUGAUGCAUUUUGUAACUCUUCAUUUUGUUCUUGGAAAGUGAGAGAAUUUAGGAGAUGAGUAUCGGAAAUUUUAGCAAAUUCAAAUAUAGAAUUUAUUUUCUAUCUUGUUAAUUUUGCAUUUAUAUUCUUUUUUUACUGAACCUCCUUUAUCUUUUCUCUUACAUAUACUAAAAAUAAAUACAGUGGAGAAGGAAAAAAGAAUUAAGUAAAUAAGAUACGAGUUCAAGAACCAAAAAGCCAUCUUUUUCCAUUACAUCUCACCAUUCAAAAAAGAAAAAGUAGAAUUUUGGGAACCUAAUUUCUUUUUUGGAAUAUUAAGCAAAGCAAAAUGGCAAUGAAAAGAGGUUUAUGUUUUAUAUUCUGUCUUUCCUAACCCUGAGUACAUAUGUUGGUGUGUGUAAAUUUGUGGCCUCUAGAUGCAAUAUAGUGUGCCUUGUAUGAAAAAUAUAAAUGUUAGCCCAAGGGGUUCUCCUAAUCAAGUUUUGAUGAUAACAAAACAGGUCUAAAGUUACUAAGGGUUAAAUCAAGUUAAUUGCUUCAAGUUUUCUUGAAAAAUUAAAGAAAGUUCAAACAACUCAAAUAGAAGAUUCUUGUUAAUGGAAAUUUGAGCUUAUUGAAGACUUAAGAAGGCCUAGGAACAAUUGUAAGGUUGUAUUUAAAGAUGAUGUGGAAUUUAAAUGAUUUAAUCUUGUUUUCUAUAUCAUCUGAAUCAAAAUUUCAUCUUCUAGUUAAACUUUUUGAAGAAAGGAGUCAUCACUUGAACAUUUUUUUAUUUGGUAGUUAUAACUUGAACUGUUACUAACAAAUUGAAAGGACUCACAAUAUAUUUUAAAUUUUGAAAAUGACCAUGUUCAUGUUACAACUUGCAGUAUAAACAAUUUGCAAAGCUUAAAAGAUGAAGUAGAUUAAUUCAAUUUUUUUUAGGUGAUCGUGAAUGCUUCCUAAUUAAAUUUCCUUCUUGUAAACCAUUUUAAUUAUGCUUCCAGGUGCAAAUAAAAUAUCCUCUGCUGCUCAUAACAGGUUCUUAUAGUCAUGAUUCAAUAAAUGUUUGUAGAGACCUAGUUCCUUUUGAGGAAGUGGAUUGCAACAUGGCCAGUGAUGUAAGAGUAACUGGUGUUAGAACUGAUGUUGAGGCAAACUGUUCCUGUUAUGCACAUGGUGCCAAAAAGAGAGUUUGGGAGCCUCAUUGUCUUCACUGAGGUCCAAAGAAGUGAAGGAAAGCCAUCAAAUUGGCUGCCAGUUAGAUUCCAACUGGGAUAUUGUUUCGGGAAAUGGUAAAAUAGAUAAUGCAUGCUUUGCUGGAUGCUCCUUGGGAGCUACUAGAAAUGAAUCUUUGGCUGAAUUUUCCCUAGGGAUAUUCUGGCCAGGAGCUAUGUAGAGAAGAAUGUUGAAGAUCGUAGGCCACUAUCAAAAGAGCAGCUCGGUGCACUUGAGUCAUUAAAAUUUUUAAUGCACUUAAGCUUUUAAAAAUCAUCCUUUCUUGAACUUAAAUCAAUCACAUCUUCAUCAGGUCAGAUGAUUUCAUGUUUUUUUAUCAAACCCUGAUUUUAAUUCUUUCAAAAUAUGCAUUAAAGGGUUUAUAUGGUGUGUAAGAUUCUUUCCCAGAGGUUUCUGACCUCGGUCUAGCCUUUUUUCUUUAGUUAUAGUGUAACUGGUCAAGACAGGGAGGAAUUGGUUGAGCCAAAAAGGCUCGAUCAGUCAAGGUGCACAAAAUGCAUCUCUAACUUCUAGUAGCAUUUUUUAACUGGUUACGGUAGGAGGCUCAACCAGUUGCUCAAUCGGUUGAGGUCUAGAACCCCAACAGUCACCUGCAAGUACAUUUAAUGUACAAUUGCCAAUGAACUAGUCAAACCGAUUGCUUGACCAAUCAAGCCUAAGUUAUGGGUUCUUGGGUUUCAGAGCUACUCACCUAUAUAUUGAGUCUUUUAAGAGCAUUUAUGAACAAGAGAUUUUGAAAUUGGGAUAAUUUCCAAAUGGAUUUUGAAAUCAUAACUUGAAUUUCCAAAUCAUUUCGAAAUGGUCCUUCAGCCUUGUGCAGUUGUCUUCAAAUGACCCUAACUUCUUCAUUUUAGCUCCGAUUUAUGCACCGUUUGAAGCAUUGGACUCUUGACUUCCCGAGCUUUGAAACAAUCUAUAGCUUGCCCAAAAUUGACCUUGGGAAGUGCUUCAGAUUUUACCUUAAAGUCAGAGUAUGUGUUGCUGCCAGAUUUUGAAUUCUAAAUUUCCAUGUCAACUUGAUUGCAUUUGUUUCAAACCUCCUCCAUUAUAGUUGCUUGCCCUUUAUCUCACUCCAUAACAUCCGUUGCUAGUAUUUUAUGUCUAUGAGUCACUCAUCACGCCCUUGCUUGGACUCGUCAUGGUUCACAAGUCCUGAAUCUCUUCUUUAUGCAUGUUUUACCACUUCUACUUCCUUGGAUGAUAAUGAAUUUUAUACUCAUCACAUUUUUCAUCCCUUAAACCUGAAUUAGGCUCAAAAUAGAAGUUAGAUCCAUAACUAGGGUCUUAGCAUCAAUUUGAUUUAAGUUGGAUGAUUUGAGUUUUUUUAUAUUCCAUAAAUCAUGUCAUAUAUGUGCUAUUGGAGCACAUAUUUUGGCUCUAAUCAGGUCUCAAGUUGUCUCCUCGAGCUUGGUUUGAUUGUUUUACCAAAGCCGUAAAGAGGUUUGGCCAUUCUCAGUGUCAAUUUAACCAUACUCUAUUUGUAAAACACACACCUGAGGGAAGAACUGUCGUUAUCAUCGUUUAUGUGGAUGACAUAAUUCUGACCAGAAACCAUAGGGAAGAAAUAGGCAAACUCAAGAGUUUUCUUACCUAUGAAUUCAAAAUUAAAGACUUGAAGAGUCUUAAAUAUUUUCUUGGGAUGGAAAUUGCUAGAUAAAAAUAAGUAUUGUAGUCUCCCAACAUAAGUAUGUUCUAGACUUGCUAAAGGAGACUAGGAUGCUUGGUUGUAAACCUACAAACACAUCUAUGGACCACACUAUUAAACUAGGAAUUAUUGAAGGAAGUUCUCUAGUGGAUAAAGGGAGAUAUCAAAGAUUUGUGGGGAAACUCAUCUCUCUCUCACACACAAAACCAAAUGUUGCUUUUUUUAGUCAACGUGGAUAGUCAAUUCUUGAACAAUCCAAUUGAGGAAUAUAUGAAAGUUGUGUAUCGUAUUCUAAAAUAUCUCAAAAUGACUCUAGGAAAGGGACUUUAUUUCAAAAGAGCACAAAAAAGAAACAUUGAAUUUUUUUCAAAUGUAGACUAGGAUGGUUCCGUAACCGAUUGAAGAUCAAUCUCAGGAUAUUGCACCUAUGUAUGGAGGAAUUUGGUUACUUGGCGAAGCAAGAAAUAGUCUAUUGUAGCUCGAAGUAACGCAAAAGUAGAAUUUAGAGCUAUGACACAUGGAAUUUGUAGAGGAAUGUGGUUAAAGAGACUCUUAAACAAGCUGAAAAUUUUAGUAGAAGAUUCUGUAAAGAUGUUCUGUGACAAUCAAGUUGUCAUAAUUAUUGCUAAGAACCUGGUUUAUCAUUAUUAGAAGAAGCAUGUAGAAAUAGACCGUCAUUUUAUAGGGAGAAGCUAGAAGAAGGGAGAAUUUAAUUGGUUUACACUCCAAUAGCUCUCUACAUACCAGACAUCCUUACCAAGGCACUUUCUAGAACCAACUUUGAAGAUUUGAGAUUCAAGUUAGGAAUAAUCAACAUUUACAAUCUAGUUUGAGGGGAUGUGUGGAAAUUUAGAAUUUACAGCUGGGUUAACAACCAUGUUAUAGCUACAACUAUGUUACAAUUAUAUUAUAGUUGUGUGAUAGCUAGGGAUUCAAAUGUUGUUUUUUGUUUCAGCGAUAUUUUGUCGAUAUAUCGUGUAUGAGUGUAGCUUGACAUGAUAACGGGCAUGGAUAUCUCGACUGAGAGAGAGAUCAUUUUUUCUUGCCAUUUAUUGAGGGUUUUUUUGGCAAAGUUCCAGAUUUGCACCAAUAUUUCAGAUAUAUCAACAAUUUUCAGCCACGUUAGCAUGUUGUGUCAGCGAUAUUUUUCAGCUUUUACUUAAAAUUUUUGAAAUAUGGGCCUGAAGUAAGAGACACCCAUUUUUUUUGUGACAACUGAUGGAGCCUAAUUUUACAUGUGAUGAUACUUGGGGCACCAACACUUCAAAUAUGGGAAUGUUUUCUCUUCACUUUCAUGCAAGUUAGGGAAUUGAUCUUGAGACCUUAAGAAUGAAAAGGUUUGUCCUUGCCACCAAACUAACUAUACUUUGCUUAUACAAGCACAUAUUAAAAUAUAUAUAUAUAUAUAUAUAUAUAAAUUACUUAAAAUAAAAAAAAAUGAGUUAAUUUUAAUUAUGUCUUUUAUAUAAUAAUUAGGUAUAAGAUAAAUAUAAACUUAUAAAUAAAAUUAUCAAUAUUUUUAAAUAAAAAAUACUAACAUAUCAUCAUUUCUUUUAUAUCAUUUGAAUAUCCAAACUAAAUAUAUUAUCAUUUUAGUUUUUAUGUAUUAUCAAAUUCAAUAUAUUAUUGUCAAAUAUUAUAAUUUGUUUUAUCGAUAUUUUUAUAUUAAAGUUUCCAUCAAUAUUUCCUUAUAUAUCCCGAUAUAUCCAUAAAAUCUAACUACUGAUAUAUCCAUGAACACCGAUAUUUUCAUCCUUGGUGAUAGUUGUGUUAUAGUUGUGACACAACUGUGUUGUUGUAUUUCUAAUUUUAACUUACUCCCUUAUUUUAUUUUGUGAGAGAUUUUUUCUCCUAAAAUAAAAAAUUAGAUUUCUUUUCUAAGGCAGAUGACCUCAAUCGUUUGUGCAUAAAUAUUGGUACUAUAAUCAAUUUGCAAUAUAGAGAAAAAGUAUUUUUUUCCCUCAAAUUUCUUUAGUUUUUAUAGAUUUCUUGUUACAAGUUUAGACUGUUAUGAUAGUUUUAAAUGUGUGGAUGGUUUUCUUUUCCUUCCAUAGAAUAUGGUAUAUGAAAUGCGCAAGUUUUCUAUCUACUUUUGGUAUAAUUUGUUUAUAUGGAUAUGGAUUAACCAUGUAGUACCACCUACACUAUUUCAUCAGUACUAGUGGAAUAUGGUAUUGACUCAUAGCUGCCAUCAACAAUUCAUUCCACUAGCCAAAUCACCCAUAUUGUGCCAUCAAUCACAGGUUCCUCAAGCAUGUUGAAGUGUCUAUUAUAUGUCUUAUAGCAUACUGUCAGAAAUGUAAUUAUAAUAGGAAAUUAUUUUGUUGAGUGUUUUUUCUAUUAGUUUUUCUUUUUUUUUUAGUUAAAUUUUUGUUUCCAUUGGGACUUGAACCUGGUAGCUCCCACAAACCCUCCCCAACCCUUUACCACUUGAUUCCAGCCCCAAGGGUGAGUGUUUUCUCUAUUAGUUAUUACACUGUCGAGGACAUUUGACUUAAGAUACCAUCUUGUAAUGUAAACCCAUCUUAAGUCCUCUUCUAGUUCUUCCUAAUACAUUGAGAAAUUCCUUUUUCCACUAGAUGCAGGUUUUUGAAUUCUGCAUGAAUAAUGAUUGGUACCAUAUUAUGUUAGGCGAUUGGUACCAUAUUUGACCUUAGAAUCCCUCCUCCCCAUCUACCUGCAUGAUUUAAGGAUUAGAGAGUGCAACUGUGACAGUUUUGUGCUUUCAGUGGAGAUGCUAUUAAUGAAGUUGGUCCGCACUAGUAAUAGGAUGACCAAUAAAUGCAUUUUGGGGUGAGGUCAAAUUGAAAACUGAAAACAAAUCCAUCUCUGGCAGCUGUCUUGCCUUACUUUUGCCAAAAAAAGCACCCAUUUCCAUGCUGAAGCACCAGCUACUACUGUAGAGGGCCUCUAAUCUCCAUACACUAUGUGAGCAACUUAUAAUCAUUGUUUCUGUUUCUGUUUCAUUGUAAAUAAAUUCCUAAAAUGAUAUGGCAAUAAUUUUGUUUGUGAGUCAUAUUCUAGGCAAUGAAGAUCACAUGAAUGAAAUGAAGUUAUUACAAAGUUAGAAAACAGUGGUAAAGAUAAGGUUAUCUCAUGUUAUAAUAUAUGUGCACACAAAUGCAUUUUAAUGAAAAAGUGACAUAUCUGAUAAAAGAAAAAGGAAAUCUUUUCCCGUUGCCCCUUCAUCCAUAGUCCUUUUCUUGGCAAAUAGCAAUGCACUCAGACCAAGCAUAACUGAGUCAUAUCUUAAGUUACCUAUAUAUGUAGAUGCAUACACAUUCUAUUUUCUUUGGAGAUGUUUUGAAUCUCCAGAUCACUGAAACUCUCUCUUGCUUUUGGUUGGUGCUCUGAGCACCUUGUUGCUGCCAACUCAACAAACACUAAAAAGAUGACAAGAUGAUUUUGAUGGUUAUUUACUAAGCUUGCAGUAAGAUAAGGACUUUUCUUUUUAUUACCUUUCCUUCCUAUUUGGUCUGUGAUUGACAAGGAAAUAAAGAUAGUUCUUGAUUAUAAUCAGGAGUGUCUUUUUCCUUCUUCAAUCUCAGACUACACUUUAUUCUUCAUUUCUAUUUGCCUCUUUUUGACCUAAGAAUCUCUCUCUCUCUCUCUCUCUCUCUUUCUCUCUCUAGUGUGUUUUUUGAUUUCUAAUGAAUAUCACACUCUGAGGAGAAUGUCUUGAAGCUGAAUGCCUCAAGUAAAAGGGAUGAUUCAAAAUAGACAAUUACUACUUGAAAAGGCUCUCAUAAGAAAAAAUGCAUAUCAGAAGCAACAUCAAGGACACUGCACUUAUAAAUGCUUUACAAUAAUAUUAGCUGGGGAAGAAGUGGCAUCGGCAAAGUGGAAAGCAAACAAUUUCUGCCUGAUUUUGGAUGCAGAAAAUUUGGUUAUUUUUUAGAAUUACUAGAGAUGGUGUCAUUGACAAUUGAGGGAAAGGAAACAUUGGAGAGAGCAGCUUUACCUAGAUGCUUUAACUGCUAGCAAAACCAAAUACUCAACCAUAUGAUGUUGCUCAGGUGAAUGCUGAUCUGAAACUCAAUAUGACCUGAUAAUUCUUAGUUCCGUCUUAUCUAUUGUCCUGUAUUUUUUUUUUCUUUUUAUAAUGCAAAUUGAAUAUUCUUUGUUGACUGAUAAUUUGAUAGAUGUCUGACAUGUCAUGAGAAAACACCUGCUGAGAGAUCAAGCAGGAGAACAGAGAGGAUCCAUGCUGUGCUUUGACCUCAAGAACCAAAGGAGUUUAGUAGUUGGAGUUAUUGAAGAAACCAAAAAAAAAAAUUAUGGUGAGAACAUGGAAGAAAAGCAUAAGUUGCAUGAUUCUAGGUUUCAUUGACAGGACAUGAUUAUUAAAUUGGAGAAAGAAUUAGAGGCUAAGUUAUUUACACUAGACAUAUAGCACAAAUGGUUAAGUUUUCUUAAUCUGUAAAAAAGUGAUAAUAUCCUUAUAAAUGUCUCACAUUUGAUCUCAUGUUUAACUAGUAAAUUUCAAGAAAUUAGUUAUAAAUCUUCCAUUGAGAUGCAAUUAUAUUGAUAACAUUUUGCCUUUAUAUUUGGUUUGCUGUAGAAUUACUUUUUAUAUCAGAAGUUGGUGGAAAAAUGAUAUUUCUCUUUCUGGGAUAAGGACAUGGUAACAUUCUCCCAACUUCUGCCUUAGAUCCUUUGGCUGCUUCUGUGUUUAAUUGAUGUUAUGAAUGAUGUAAUUGGGGAGGGUAAAGUAAAUUGGAUUGUAACAAUAAUGACACAACUUUGGCGCUCUCUCUCACACACAGAUGCUCGGUUGCUCACUCACUCAUAUGUGCAUGCUCACAUGCACCGAUAGGUUUUUAAAUGUUUAAUGCUAUUAUAUUUGACUAGUUUGUUUAAGAAUUUAAUUUUACUAAUAAUUGUCUCUCACGUGCUUGUCCAAUAUUUAUAUGUAUAUAUCUGUAUCUCAGGCACACAUAAUUAGGUUGAUUAAAGGUUUGUUGCUACUAUAUUUGCUUUGAGGUAGGUUUUCUUGGCCUUCAUCUUUGUCCCUUAGCACCUUGAACUUGAAUCAAAUCACUCCUCCCACUCUAAUUCAUUUUUUUCCAUUGCAGCCCACAUUCAAAAUACCAAAGCCUUGCAAAUUGAAGGUGAUAGACCCAGGUAAAUCUUUGCACUGAUUCUGUUUCUCAUUAAUAGUGAAUCUCUGUCAUCCAUCACUACUCAAAGAGGUUCAUAUGUUUUUGCUUUUUCUUCAAGUUUCAUAUUGUUAUAGGGUUUUAUUUGUUCAACUUAGUCAAAAAUUUCACUUGCUUAUUCUGUUAGAUUCUUACAUCAAUGGAAAUUUCUGGGUGAAAGCAUACUUCGCCUGCUCAGCUUGCCACUUGGGGCAGCCACUUCACUCACAGAUUAGCAUUUCAGGUUAACAAGUUGAUAGCUGUGUUCCAAUCAUGGUUAUUGAUUUUGAACUACUUCAAGCAGGUUAGCUUUCACUAGUAAACCUUAUUUGCUAGAGCCAAUGGUAUCAUAAUAUGUUAGAUUGCAAAUUGUAAGCUUUGGUGAAGGUGUCUUCAAUGCUGGAUGGCUUCUUUGUGUGCAGAGACCAAUACAGGUCUGAGUUCGCCAGUAACUCUCAUUUGAAAGCAAUCGGGGCUAUGGCAUCAUCAUAGCCCUCUCCUCGAUUAAUGGCCAUACUAAAUUGCUUAACAUAGUCUUGUACACUUUCCCUUUCAUUCAUUUGGAUAUUAAGGAGGGAAGAAUCCAUGUCUCUUCUUUGCCGAAAAGAACACAUAUGUUGAGCCACAAUUGUUGUGCACAAUUUUUAAGAAAGAAGAAAUAGACCCGCUCGAGAGAUUAUGGAACUAAAUGAGGGGUGGGCUUUGCAGACUUGUUGGGAAUGCGUUGCAAAGCCCUGCAUCAGGAUGAUGAGCUGACAAAAAUGCAUUAAAUGGUCAACCAGGUCUCCCAUGCCAUAAUAUGGAUGUAAUUUUGGAAACACAAACCUGGUUGGGAUUCUUGCAUUAGUGAACAAGCUGUUGACUAAGCCCCGAAUGAUUUGACUCACAAAUUGUUGUCUUCUUCCUAUUCAUAGCAUCCUUUGAAAAUCAUCCAACUGCUCUUCAAUAGUGCCUUUUUCCUUGAAGGUAUGAAUAGCCUCAUUCCUUACCAACUUAUCUUCUUCCAAGGUUGGGGGUGACUCUUCUCGGUGAGAUUGAUUUGUCUCAUGCAAAACGAUAGUGUCAAGGGAGAAGUAGAACGAUAGGAGUGUAACAAUGCUUGAAGCUCUUAAUUGUCCCUAGCCAAAGUAUCCUCUAUUUGAGAUAGAGAUUGCAUUCUUUGCUCAAGCCGGAGUUGUUGUUGCUCUGGCCAUAACUGUAGUCGACAAAGAGGCUCUUCCCCUGAAGGGCCCUUUCCAUUGUAGUGUAGGGAUGCAACUUGGCUAACCCGACCAACUUGAGGUUUGAGUUGGCAUGGGUAAUAUGUGAAGGGUUUGAGUUAGAAAAAUACCCAAAUCGACGAUAUCAAGACGGGUGAAACCUGAACCCAUGUUUUAUUUAAAAUAUGAAAAAUAUAUAUAAAAAAAGGAUGAUAGAACUUUAUCCUUUACCUUUUACAAUUGUAGGAUACUAAUAAGUUUAUCAUUUUUGUUUAAUUAUUUAAAUAUUUUUAACUUGAGUUUAGAGUUAUUAUUUAUGUUAAAUUAGCAAUUAAUAAAUAUAUUUGAUUGCUUUAAGACAUCUUUGGCAUUUAUGGUUGAUAUUUUAUAACUUUGAAAUAAAUAUUUUAUUUAGCAAGAAACUCUAUUAUAGGUCUUUUAGUUGACAAUAUGUAUGAGAACUUUUAGAAAUUUGAGUUGUCUGUGGGCUUAGCAUGGGUUGAGAAUUCCUGAAAACUAUUUCCAAAUCUCCAACAUUUUCAAAAAAUUUAAUUGAAAGUUGUCUUACAAUUCCAAUUGAAUUUUAAAGUUGUUUUUUUCCAAAACAUUUUUCCAUAUUUAUAUUGAAAUUUUGUCUUCAAUGGACAACUUUUAAUUGAUGUUAUUUCAAUUGAUAUUAUAAAAAAUAAGGUGGUAGAUUUAGAAAUAAUUUUUAAAAUAUCAAAUUUUAAUAAAUAUUUUUUUUUUCAAAAAUCUGAUAAACAAUCUCAGCACAUGAUAACCUUCCAAUCCAUCCUACUUAAGUGCUAUGGGUGUUGUGGUUGGGAUGUCACUGAAAUAACCUCCGUCCUCUCUCAUUUUUGCGGCCGGUGGUUAUUCUCAUUGACGGUGCCAAGACAUUGAGUAUUUUCUCUUCUUUCUGCUCGAUUUUAUAGAUAUUUUGGGAACAAGUUACCAAGUGGUAAUAUUAUGGGUAAUGGAGUGAGAGUGGUAGGAUCAACCACAGUCAGCUGGAUGCCCAUAUCUUUGACAGAUGGUAUUCCUCAACUAUGUCGGGUUCCUAGCUUUGUACCCCUUCUAUCUAGUACCUACAUAAAUUCUAAUUUUUUACAAUUUUUAUUGAGUUCUAAUAUUAGUCAAUUUUUAAAGACAACUGAUGUAAAAAUAUUUUUACCAAGUUUAAGCAACUGAUUAGAGGUAUUUUUUGUAAUUUAUUUUGAAAGGCUAAUCAUUUUUAAAAAUAAUUUAUAAAUAUAAAUAUAUUAUAUAACCAUCCUUUUAUGUAAAAAUUUUUUUUUUUUUUUUUUAAAGUAUCUGUUCUAUUUCUAUUCUUUUAAGACCUUUACUUCUCAAUGAAAGUCCACUGGACUGUUAGUAUUUUAAUGAAAUUGUUGCAGCUCUUUGUUUCCUGGAUUGAAGAAUGCUAUUAAUUGUCCAGGUUUUGGUCUUUAUAUAUAUUUUUUCCCUUAUGUGUUGGUUGAAUUUUAGGUAUAUAAUGUGCAUGUUUGCAUAUUUUCAUAAUUGUCAGAAUAAUUCUAUAAUUUCUUGUUCACAUGGAGUCUAUCUAUACCAUUUUCAUUAUACCAGAAAAUUUCUAAGUUGCCCUCGUAGUUGGUAUAUAAUUUACAUCUCUUUUUAUAAUCAAAAUUUAGUAGCUCUCAAAAAAGUUAUAUUUAUUGGCUUAUCUUCAACUUAUGUUUUUUAUUUUCUUUUUUGGUUAGGUUUUUCCAUAUUCUCAUGUGUUAUUUCUUCUACUUUACCUAGUAAAGGUGAAGGCACCUUGAGCACUAGGAGAUGGGUGCUUUUACCACUCAUUAGUCAUUUCCAUAUUAAAUAUAACAAUAACCUGAUGCAUGUGGUUCUGAAUCAGAUGUUUAUGUAAUGAUUAGCAAAGCAAACACAUUAGACUCUAAUCAUUGCUACCUGUGAGUCUAUUUGUUCAAAUAAUUACGAAUAGGAAGCUUAAGCCUCACAAGACACAGUCCUAUUGCUUCACUAGAUGAGAAAACCUUCCUUGCUAUAUGCAAGCCAGUAUUGGAGUGGCUAUUUGUCUACUAACCAGAUUCUUCAAGACCUCGAAUUCUAAGAUUAUAGGUUUGGCUAAUAAAAAGAGUCUGCCUUUGGAUAUGUCAUUCAUUAAUUGACAGAAGUAAGCCUUCCAUACAAGGAAAUAUAUGUGUGCGCCUAUAUAUUUAGAGAUAUAUAUUACAGUUGCAAUAAAUCUUAGGCAUAUUGAGAACUUUUUAACUAGUGUUGAAUUUUUGAUGUGGUUACUUUUGUUCCAGAUUAACAAUAAGAAAAUCUGUGCUUUAUGAUGCUGGUACUCUUGUUGGUAUGUAUUUCCAAGAGUCAAACCUGUGACUUCCAAAUCUUAUGAGAAGUACAUGUUAAAUUAUCAAAGUUCAGCUAUUUUUUCUUCUUUUAUAUAUCUUGGGGACAAAAGGAAGUGUUUGUGCAACGUAGUGUGCCUUCCUGGAAAAUUUGCUCGUUUUAAAAUAUCAUUGAUAGUAUGGUUAUAUCAAGAAACUAUCUUUUCAACUUAUAGCAAAUAAGAGACAUGAAUCUUUUUCUUUUAUUUGUUACACCUAUGAUCCAAUCUUACAUGGAACAUAAAUCACUAGCAUAUCAGACAAUGGAGCAUAGAUUGUUAUGAUAUGGGGAAUGGAAAUGAGUACACAAAACAGUAUAUAAACUGGAACGUGGUAAAUCAGGUUAGGCUUAAAUGGUCCAUCGAUUGGUUAUUAAAAAUUAGAUUGUUGUAAGAUAAAUGCAAUAAUACCUUUUUUUUCCCAUUUCUAUAGAAGGGGCUAUAUGUUGGUAGUUCUCUCUCCUUUUUGGCAACUUUUUAUUUUUUCCUUUAAAAUGGAUUGACCAUGUAAUGCCACAAAACUACUUAUUUCAUAUUUCUGUUAUUCUUUUGGUAUGUUAUAACUGUUGAUCCAGUUUGCUUUAAAGACUUGUAUCCUCUUGCAUUUUGUUAACUAUUUGUAAUCUUGUUUUGUAAAAUUCAAUGAUAUAUUAAGGUUUAGUUUUUGACCUCUUCAAGCUUGUUUUCUAAUUGUUCAUUUUUCUUAGCUCUUUUUUGAAACCUUAAGCCCGCUUCCUUGUUUUUCAGCUAGUUUCAUUUGGAAAUCUACAUCCCCACCUAAAGCAAAAGCCUUUUGUAUGGUCAGUGGCAAAUAAGCAACACCAACAAGAAGCUAUAGGUGAGCAGGCCUUAUAAAGGUUUUUGUUUAAAUUGUGUUUAUGUGCUUGUGGCAUGGUGAAUCAGUUGGUUAUAACUUUCUUCACUGCCUAUUUGCUUUAGGGAUUUGUUAUAAGUUGUUUGCAUAGCUGGGAUAGACAGGGUUUCUCAGAAUUUUGACAAAUAGGAUGAUUAUCUCUUUUAAGGAGUUUGGGAGACUCCCUAGAGGUGGAAUUCUUCGGUAAUUGGUGAGCCUCACUUUGAUUUGGAUAAGGUCAAUAAUUUUGUCAAGAAUUCGGUUGAUUUAUUUUCUUCUCUAUGACUUUAUAUUUUUGAAGCUUUGAACAGGUACUCCCUUGAAUCGCAUUUUGCUAUAUUGAAACGAAGCAGUACCAAAAUUUUUAUAGGAGUGAAGUGAGUUGAGCAUGUACAUGUUUGUCCUGUAGAGGGAGUGUAUGUAUGGAGUAAACUUUUAUUCUGAGGAGAUUUUUUCCAUUGAUUUACACGUGUGUGUGUGUGUGUGUUUGCAUUUAAUGGUUUGUUUAGUUGUCUGUUUCACAACAACAGAGAUAGGUUUCAUCUUGAAGAAUGCUUGCUGCAUGUAUUACUGAAAAUUCCAAGUACCCUAUUUCUUGAAUAAAAUUGAAGGAGAUAUUUUUUUGAGGGCUUGAUCAGCAUGGAAACAAGUAUCUUUUACUAGCUUUAUGGUGUGGUUGUGAGCAAUUGAGAUAGGAUCCGACUGAGAUGGUCCAGUUUUAGUCUGGACAAACCAUUUUGCCCCAGGUUUCGCUUUUCAAAAGCCAAGGUUUUGGAAACUGAUGUGCACCUUGUAAAUUCUAAUUAGUAUAUUGAACAACUUUGAUAAGAUUCCCUCUCACAAGCAAAGGGGCCCUACUGUAUUGGACUCCAUCAGGCUGAUUAAGACCCCCAGAAUGGACAUUAAAAGAGACGCUUUCAACUUAUUGGACGUUGAACUUACUUUUUGAUUGCAAAAAUGAAGAGGACCUUGUUCAAAUGCAUCAGUAGAAUGGCCAAGUUGUGGUGUAAAGUCUGUUUGUAGAAUGUGAAAAAUAUUCACCUUUUCCAGUGGUUUUUAAGGACAAGCCUAUGGUAUAUGGUAGAGUUAAAUCUCUUUAAAUAUGGAGGAGGUAGAUUGCCUUGAAAUCAUAUAAUCCCAAUUCAUUCUAUUACGGUAACUUUCGGGCAUUAAAGUUACUUUAAGCGUGGCUGAAUUAAUACCACAUGUCCUGUUAUAGUGUCAAAGAGACGCCUAAGUUUGGUUUGCUUUCAAUUCCAUAAUGCCCUUGAAAGUGACAUUAUAUUGAGACGUCCUAAUGGUCAUUUAAUAUUUUUUAUUUUUCCCCUUUUAGGUUUUUUAUUGUUGAACUUGCUUCCAUAUGAAAUACUGAGACUGAUGUGGAUGUCAUUGUUGUGAGCUCCAUCUAUCUUCCUUGCGUUAUCUGAACUCAGGUUGCUGUUACAAGAUUCCCCUAACAAGGCUUUCUUUAGUUUAGACCAUCUAAUCUCACUAAACAAAGCCUUCAUGUGGUCCAUUCUUGACUUAAAUUUGAAAAUCUUGCUGGCAUGAUGAGAGAUGCAAUAUAUUAUAUAUUAUAUAUUUAUAUUUAUAUUGAUGUAAAGCUUCCUCUGUAUACUUGUGUAUUUGGAUUUCUUAAAAUUCAUUUCUUUGCUUGCCAUGACUUCGUUUUUCUUACCCUCUAUUUGUUUGUUUUCUGCCCUGGAGAAUUUCCCAUCAUCCAAACAGUCUUUUCUCCCUCUGAUUUUUUUUUUUUUUUUAAAAUCUCUUCUCCCCACGCUUUAUUCCUUCUACUUUAUAGAGUUUUGUCCCUUGCACUAGCACUGCUCAUGGAAUUUGGAAAGUGAGCUUGAUACAAAAACUGAGCGCCUUUCCUGUAAUCCAGCAAUGUGGGCAUCAUCUGUGCGAUGGGAGUGCACACCACGCGCAGACCUUGAAAAAAAGAGGAUAUAACUGCUCUGAAAAUUAUGCGGAUGUUAGAGGUUCAAAGAAGAUCUUGUAGGGACUUCUUAUCAGUACAACGUGGUAAGACUCGAGUCUGUGAAAGCCAAGCUUUUGGGAUCCCCCUCCUAGGUAUAUACACCCACCACACGUCUCUGCCCACCGAUAAUCCUUAGCUUCUACACGCUGGUUAGCCAACCUUUCUCCCUCUGUUCUGUCGGAAUCGGUUCAGAAUUUGGCGGGGGUUCUCUGCACCUGCCAUGUGUCUCACUACUCCCCAAAACCUAAUCAUUUUUCACUCGAGGGCAUUGUGGUAAAGAAUGACUUCGGGGUUUUGACUAGUCAUACGAGCAUUGAAUUCUCAUUUUUAUCUAUUUAUUUAUUUUUUAUAUGCUCCCAUUUGUCCUGUAACUAUUCACUUCCAAUAGUUUCAUUGGCCGUGACAAUAACAAUUGAUUUUUAACCAAUUGAUGGAGAAAACUAAUCAUACGCUUAAAAUAGACUCUAUACAAUUCAACAGUUGGAGUGCGACAUGCAUAACUAAAUGGGCACUGCCUUUUUAAAAGGUCCCCCACCAUCUAAAACAAUAUGACAAUGUCCAUGGACCAAAGUGUGUGAUCAAUUUGGUGGUCUUGCCUUGGAAUAUUUUAGGUUGAGCCGGUUUGUUUUCUCCUAAAUUUUAUUUCAGUUUAGUCUUGCAAUCUCGACCACUCUUAAUAUCCAAUUCCCAAGUUGUAUAGACAGCCAUUACAAACGAUAAGGACCAGGUGGCUCCCACCUAAAUUAUUCACAAGCUGUUUGCCCCAUUUCUCUUGUCAUAUUGUGCCACAGAGAGAUGUUAAAUUUAUUGAUUUCAGAUUACUCAAUCAUCAUGAUUUAAUUGUUGGCGGUUCCCAAAAUGUCAUCCAAACAUGAUGGAUUAGUAGAACAAAAAUAAUAAUAAUAAAAAAUCAAAAGUAGACUCCCCCCGAUUAGCAAAGUAAACGAUGGUCAUCGGUUGCAUCCAUUUUAUUUGUGGGAGGUGCAAAUUGUGUUACGAAAGUGGGGGUGAAGGAGAAUAUGAUGAGAAGGAAAGUAGGUGGAACAUCGCUUUUAAUAAUUGAGAUUGAGAAAGAGAAGAGGAUGAGGGGAUGAGACAAGGGCCUUUCUAUUAUUUUAUUUCACUGUUAUUAUGGUCGCACUCUCUUUGAUCAUCUCCUUGUCACGAAUUUGAAAUUUCUUCCAUCUCCCUUCCUUUUCACUCUUUAUCAUGUUAGGAACUUAGGGCUUAGGACUUUAGUUUCCACCGCCCACUACAACCUCCUCUCAAAUCUUCCGACACCAACUCUUCAGUUACCCAUCUAGAAACUAUCUUCUAAUGAGACCUACUUAGUCUUUCUCCUACUGUCAAUUAAAAUCGAAGAUAAAUUAUUUGUUUAUGAGAUAAAGUGUGCCUUACGAAACUUCCAACCAAUUUCAUACCAACCACUGUUAGGCCACUUGAUAUGGGUCCCAAGUGACUCGCGGUCAACACACUCUUCUUUGAAAUGAACCUCUUUUGCCCAAUUUUGACUAGUCAAAUUCACAUUCAAUCUACCACGGUACCACCUAAUAAAUUGAAAUUAAUUAUCCUCUGCUUUUUAUUUUUAUUUUUGUUUCAUUACAAAAGAAAUUUUUUUUGGCCCUUGUGCAUAUUGGAGGCGAUACAGCCCAUGUCGCUGGAGUAUUUAUUCAGUUGAUGCAAGUAUUCUGACUUAUUGAAUAACUUUUACUCUUAAAUAUUAAUGCUCACUUACCCUGUUAGAAGAAAACGAUCAUCUUGAGACUGACAAGAAAGCGAGAGGAUUCAAAAUUUCAGCCUGUUUAUGCUGUGGCAAUCAUUCGACUUUGCUGAAAAUGAUUUCUUCUGCCUAAUUUUUUGUUAUUAGUAUGUGGAAUGAAUGAGUGGAGAGCAAGAAAAAUUUUGCGCCUUCGUGUACGUGUACUGCGUUCGGAAUUGAUCAUAGGUGAGGCCUAUGAAUGUAUCAUUCUAGAUGGAAAUUAAGUACAAGUACAAAUUAAGAGAAAAGUGGAAACAAAAAGAGUGGAGAAAUGCUCAAGGCCACUUAAUUAAAUAAGCCCACAAUUAAGAAAAUGCAAUUGUACUUGUGACCCAUAUGCCCUGAAAAUAUGUGACCCAUAUGCCCCUUCAUUCUCUCUCUUAUAGGCUGUAUAUCAAGUUCGGUUAACUUUUGGAUGCUACUGCGUGUAUAUUCUAGAACAUCAAAAUGGUCGGCUGGGUGAGCUGGGAUCCUCCGGGUGAUGAUAAAGUGGGGUCCAGUCAUGGCCGCGACGUGUUUUGAUCUAACCUAUUCAAUCUGACAUCCGACGGUCAUCAAGCUACAUGCGCUUUGAACCACUUUAUUCAGCAUCAUAUAAAGGUAAGCCCGUCAUAACAAAAUAACACCUUUAGGAAAGUCAGGAUGCCUUUAUUUCUUAGGCACUUGAAAAGUCAUAGGCCUUUUUCAUCCAUUGAAGUUUGCUCAUUCAUUCAUGAUUUAUAUAUAUAUAUAGAUUUUUGUGUGUCGUAGGACCUUUAUUUAACCAGAAAGUUCCCACUGAUAAAAGGGAAGGUGAAGGUGCUCUCAACCUCGGUCAUAUUAUUUGAUUUAAAUUAUUGGCCUCGCCAGAGAUUGUUAAAUUAUGGAUUUUUCCUUUAUAGCAUAGCACCUAUCAAUUUUUAUUUCCAAAUCUCACCCUCAGUGCGAAGCCAUGAAAUGUCUUCUCUAUUCUUUUUUAAUAUAAAGGUGAAUCCAAUCAUAAAGCAGAAGGGAGAAAGUUGUGGACAUAUUCAGAAUCUGUCCAGCAUACCCAGCCAUAGACGCAGGCUUCCAAUGUGUUGUACAUAUAUGUUGAUAUACAGGGCUUCUCUUCGUCUCGAUCACCUCCCUUGCUUAAAUUUUAGCUUCUCCAAUUUUUUUAUUUUUUCUAAAUUAUUUGACCCCAUAUUGACAUGGAACAGUCAAUUUGUAACAAGUGGCAAAGUCGGGAAUCUCGAGGUAGAGUUUGGUUUUCACCCUGAAAACGCGGAAGGUUUGAUGGAGUUCCUUUAUUUCAUGUGUGACAAAUCCCCAUACAUAGCCCACAUGUUCACUCUGAUCUUAUGCUAUUAUAUUUCCGAAGGCGGUCCCGAAUUGAAAAGACUCCUUCAUCUACCAAAUUCAAUGUCACAAAAGAAUAUAAUAAAAAUAAACAUCAAAAUGCAUCUUAAAAUUUUAUCAUCUACAAUUCUCUAUUUUUUAUUUUUACCAAUAAAAUAGAUGUCAGUAAAGGAGUGGGAAGUCAACUAUCUGAAGUUAAAACAAGUCCUGCUCUUCCGUAUUCAUAAUAAAUACGAAUUUUAUUUAUAUGGUAACAGAUGAUGUGAAUUACAAAUACAAAGCGUUCGUCACACGGAACUUCUCACACAAAAGCAGAGGCCACUCCACUCACUUCAUAAUUCAUUUCUCCUCCUCCUCCUCCUCCUCCUCCUGCUUUCUCCCUCUCUUAGCUUCCUUCUCCCACCAUGACUUCAAAAGACUGCGGCAACCAUAGGCACAAGCAUCAUAAGCUGAGGCGAUGCUUCGCCGGAUUGCUUAUCUUCUUCUUCAUCGUCCUCCUCGUCGUACUCCUGGUGUGGGCAAUCCUCCAGCCCAAGGACCCACGCUUCGUCCUCCAAGACGCCACCAUCUACGCCCUCAACGUCUCCACCCCGAAUAUCCUCACCGUCAACAUCCAAGUCACCAUCACCACCCGCAACCCCAACGACAAGAUCGGCAUCUACUAUGAGAAACUCGACACCUACGCCACCUACCGCGGCCAGCAGAUUACCCUCGCGUACCUCAUCCCCCCCACCUACCAGGGCCACAAGGAGAUCAUCACCUGGUCACCUUUUCUCUCCGGCACGGCCGUACCCGUGGCUCCCUACAACGCCAUUGCACUGAAUCAGGACCAGUCGUAUGGCGCCCUCACCUUGAUCAUCAAGAUUGAUGGACGGGUGAAAUGGAAAGUUGGUUCCUUCACAUCAGGC